GAGGUGGUGGCGUUCACCCAUGUGAUGCAUUUGGCUGCCCAAGCUGGUGUGAGGUAUGCCAUGGAAAACCCAGGCUCAUAUGUUCAUAGUAAUAUAGCUGGUCUUGUUAAUCUUCUUGAAGUUUGUAAAAAUGCAAAUCCACAACCUGCAAUUGUUUGGGCAAGUUCUAGUUCUGUUUAUGGAUUAAAUACUAAGGUACCCUUUUCGGAAAGAGACCGGACUGACCAGCCGGCUAGUCUUUAUGCCGCCACCAAGAAAGCCGGUGAGGAAAUUGCACACACUUACAACCAUAUCUAUGGCCUUUCCCUUACCGGGUUACGGUUCUUUACUGUUUAUGGCCCGUGGGGAAGGCCUGAUAUGGCAUACUUCUUUUUCACAAGGGAUAUAUUGAAGGGUAAGACCAUUCCAAUCUUUGAGGGGGCUAAUCAUAGAACGGUUGCAAGGGAUUUUACCUACAUUGAUGAUAUUGUGAAGGGAUGCUUGGCGUCAUUAGAUACCGCCGAGAAGAGUACUGGGAGUGGGGGAAAGAAGAAGGGGCCUGCCCAAUUGCGGGUUUUCAAUUUGGGGAAUACAUCACCUGUUCCAGUUACGGAUCUUGUGACCAUUUUGGAGAGACUUUUAAAGGUGAAGGCUAAGAGAAAGAUAACAAAGUUGCCACGUAAUGGGGAUGUUCAGUUUACACACGCAAACAUCAGUUUGGCUCAGAGGGAACUUGGAUAUAAGCCCACAACGGAUCUGCAGACAGGGCUGAAGAAAUUCGUUCGGUGGUACCUCAGUUACUAUUCUGGUGGGAAGAAAGCCUCUGGAUGAUAAAAUUCUUUUGAUAGUGCGGUAGACCCCUUUGAAUUCUUGUUGAAUAUAAAUAUUAUGAUUGUUUUUAACGUUUCUGUCAGUGCCCGUAUUGUUUUUCUAUAUAUCAUUAUGAUGUAAUGCCAUAUGAGGAGGAACCUUGUGAACUAUGGUGAAGAAGUUUUGUGGUUGUGGGACAUUGUCGUCUAAGUACUCCCAUGCUGUAUUGAGCGAAAUUGAGGACCAUCUCUUUCUAUUUUUUGUUGGAAUGUAAUUGUUGGAGCUAUGGCGUUGUAGAAUUCAUGACUGAUAGAGCAUAUGCUAAUUGGUGAACGUAUAUCAUUGCCAAGCAAUCAAUAAAAUAGCGCACGAUAGUUUGGAUCCUAACUACCAUAUGAAGUGAAUCACAAUAUUUUUGUGCAAUACGUUAUUUUUUUUCUUCAUAAACUGCAUUUUUUGUAAUUAAUGUCUGUAAUUGAUGGCCAUCGAUUCCUAUGCUGCAGUUUUAUGGUUAAUUUUGCAGCUGACUUUGUUGCCCUGUACUCUGACCUUUAGAACGAGGUUAAGUAUGCCAUGUAGCUCAACUGCAAGGCUAAUCCUGCUCCCCCUUUAUUGCUUAGAGUUAAUGACAGAUCAUUCUUGCAUAUCAGGUUUGCAUUUCAGUUUUCCUUUACUUUCUGGUUUAUAUUGUCAAUAAUACACAUGAUAUUUGGGGUGCUAAAAUUAUAUGUUCUGCUAAGCUUUAUACUCUAUAUCAUGAAUUUGGGUGCUCAUUUACUGUAUUCCUUGGAAAUGACAUAGUUAGCCAAAGAACUUUUAAUUUUUACUCUGAGUUAGAUUUGAAUCCUCUCUAUCAUUUGGUUAUCUCUCGUUUAGGGUUCUUAUUAACCUUUUGGUUUUCUUCUUUUGUUGAAAGACGAUGAAUUUAGAAGUACAUAAAAAAGUGGAAAGUGAAAACUUCUAUUCAUUUAUUUAUAUAUCUUUCUUCUGUUGUCAAUUUCUUUUGUUACAGACUUUAGCUUCUUCUUUUUCCUCCUUCGGCUGAUUUUGGAAGUCCCGUUUGGCAUUAUACGUAUGUUAAAACUUAAAACUACCUCAAGUAACUCUUUCAUCUUUUUUUUAUCCACAUUUCCUUAUUUGUGCAUGAUAUAGUUUUGGUAAACUGUAUGUUGUCUUUGUUUUAGUAAGCGAGUUAUGACAAAGAUGAUAAUUCCAUAGUCCAAAUACAGGGUUGGACAUUUUUUUUUUUUAAAUUUCAGUAACAUGUUAUGUUAUCAACACUGUUAAUCUGUAGCAUACAUUCAACAAGAAACCGUCUAAUAAAGUCCAGAUUGAAAGUGCGGUAGCAUAACACUUGUUGGGUAAGAAGACCGUUGACUUGCUUUUCAUUACAAUUCAUUUAUUUCUUGUAAUCAAUCUCAUGUUCUGCCAAUUUUAGUUCCAGAAGACGGCAAGAAUACGCUUGGCUUUUUGUUAAACUGUCUUUACAUGCUUGGGGAUGAUUGCAUUCUAUUAUAAACUAGUAGUUUGUGUCUUGGAUGGCUAAUAAGUUGCAGGAGUACUGAGUCAUUAAGAUUAUUUUGAAAGAAGUUCGAGAAGGGGUAAUAUUCUUUUCUCAGAUAUCUGGCAUGUUAUGUUAUCAACACUGUUAAUCUGUAGCAUACAUUCAACAAGAAACCGUCUAAUAAAGUCCAGAUUGAAAGUGCGGUAGCAUAACACGUGUUGGGUAAGAAAAAAUUAUCAAGUUUUGGCAGAGGAUGCAAAAAGGAACAAGUGGGAAAGAGUGGGAAGGCGUCAAACGUAUAGUUGUCUCGGAUCAUUUGACAUGUUGAACGGAACAAUAAGCUUCAAAAGGUAAUCAGUUUUCUUCUACGCCGAUUCGACAUAUGUUUAUAUGUGGUGUUAGUUUGUUUUUGCAUAUUUAGACGUUUAUUGCCUUUCAUUAUAUGUUUUUUUGGAGAGGGGCCGUCCUCUUUUAACAAUUCAAUUAUUUGAUUUGCCUGAAUUUUGGACACUUCUGGGAAAUUGUGUUGGGUGUGUGCCUGAUUUAACUUGUCAGCAAAGGAAAGGGAUCCUCUCCGGAUCCCUUCCUCCUAAUCCAUCAAGUCCGAGGAUCCGGGCCAUUGAAAUUUAAUUAAACGGCUAAAGUUAUUAUAACUUUUAAAGUGGGUCUCUGUUUGUAGCCGUUUGAUCAAAUUUUAAUGGUUUGGAUCUUCGGUGGAUUAGGCGGUAGGGAUCUGGAGAGGAUCCUUUUCCGUCAGCAAAGCCUAAUAAGUAAUUUCAAAAAUCCAGUCGGUCAUUUGGCUCCAAUAUGGAUUUUCUUGAAUUGACAUUGGUUGGAUUUAGCUAAAUUCUGUCAUCUGUGCGGGCGUGGACGGUCGUGAAUAAUUGAUUGUUAGGAGGCCCAUCGUUAAACAACUGCGCUAACAUAGCUCCUAAUUUCAGGCACCAAUGAUCAAAACCGGAUAUCACUGUACAGUUGAUUUUCUCAUCAACUAAACAGAAUGUCUCAAUUUAGUAACGGCAAUUAGGGGCUACUAUUCUAUACAACAAAUAGAAAUUAAUGACACUAAACUAUAAUGUUAGUGACAGUAAAUGGAGGCACAUUUAGUGAUGAAUGAUAUUACUCCAAUUGCUAGAGAUGAUUUGCUUGGACAGGAUAACGCACUAGUUUCAAAGCUUAAUAAAAGAAAAUGAUGAUAUCUAUGCGGGACACUCAUUUCCCCUUUGACCGGGUUGAAAUUCCUAGCAAGAUUUUUAUUGAGGCAUAUGUAAUUGCACCCUAUUCUCAUCUCUUGUACAUCUUUCCAAUUUCUAUGAAUGAAUAUCAUACUAUACCUAAAAAAAAAUCCCCCUAAAACUGAUCGUAUUGAAGGGAAUACCUUCCUUCAUAAAUAUUUCAUCUUCUACCUUCAAACUUGAACAACGCUUAUAACUUGUCCUCUAUUUCUUUCUUCAAUAUACCUUAAUCUAGUGAGUUGUGUUUUCAAGUCAAUCCUCCAAAAGAAACGCACCACAAAAAGCUACUUGGGUUAGCGUGGUGAGUAGACUGAUGAGUAUGAAUAGCAACUGAAAUAUUCCAUGGUCAAACCAAUUAAAAAUAAAAGCUGCGAUUGAUCAUUAGUUGAAAAUUAUUACCUAGGCUACUACAAAACAAAAACAAAUUCAUCAUUUUGUUGGAAAAGCUUAGCAGCCUCUCGAGUUUUGAUUCAACGUGGGGCUCGGUGGAGGGUAGGUAAUGGGUUGAAGAUUAAGAUUUGGGGAGAUAGCUGGUUGCCGAGAGAAAAUUAUGCUAAAGUUUUGAGCCCCCGGCCACUAGGAGUGCAUCACAACCUCACGGUUAGAUCUCUGAUGGUGGAGACGGAUCGACUAGGAUGGAAUGUGCAGGAGGUAUCACAAAUGUUCUUUCCUGAAGAGGCCACUCUCAUUUUCAAUAUUCCAUUGAGUUUAUUUAGUCCAACUGAUGAAUUGAUUUGGAUUAAAGAACCCAGGGGAAAAUUUACAACAAAGAGUGCUUAUUUUGUUGCUCGGACAUGUCGGCAGAGAUUAAAUUUAUGUGGAAGGCACCGUGGCGUGCAAAAGUACCGGGGAAGGUUAAAAUCUGCGUCCGGAGGGUUUGUUUAGCUGCUUUGCCGACAAGAGUCAACUUAAAGAUAAGAAAAGUCCUUAUGGAUGAUGGUUGUGUCUUCUGUGGAAAUGAACCUGAAUCGGUUGAACAUGUUCUGUUGCAUUGUCCUCAUGCUAAAACUAUAUGGAGCUACAAUCGAUUGGGUUCGCAAGCUCUGCAACAAGGAGAGAUUGGAGUACAAGAUUGGUUGGAUCGUUUGGCUUCCAAUUUAUCACGGGAGAGCUUUGACUUAGUGCUUGUUCUGUUAUGGAACAUCUGGAAAGCUCGUAAUGAGCUGUUUUGGAAUGGUGUGGUAACGCCACCUCAGGAAAUUCCAAUUAAAGCAAGUACUUGGUUGCUAGAGUUUAAGAAAUGGAAUAUGGUGCAACCUAAGACUAAGUCUGACGGUGUGCAGAAAUGGAGGAAGCCGGAGGAAGGGUGGUUCAAAUGCAGUUUUGACGGUGUGUGGGAUGAACAUGGGAUGCCGUUGGGGAGUUUGUUGCUGCAGCGGCAGUAAAAAUGGAGGGGAUUACAUCGGCUCUGUUGGUAGAAACUUUAGCAGCUCGUGAAGCGGCGCUGCUCGUACAACAAUGGCGGGCGCAAAAGGUAAUUUGGGAGGUGAUGCCUUGUUGGUGAUAGCUGCCGUUCAGAAUGGUGAAAAUGUUAAUCAUGAAAAUACUGUAACCUCCAUCUCCCUCCUUGCAAUGCCUUGGAUGAAUUCUCCUGUUUCAUUUUAUAAAAAACGAAACCUAAUAAAUAACAAAAAAAGAAGGGCAAAAGACUGUUUACUACCUUCAAGUUUCAUGGUUUUCAACGUUUAGUACAUCAAUUUUUUUUCAUCCCAGAGUCAUACCUAAAGUGUUAAUUUUGGGACAGUCUCAUACAUCCGUUAGUCAAACUGUUAACUUUGCUGUUAAAUGAUGAUGUGGCACCCACGUGGACAAUGACUAGGCGCCACGUGUCAUUAAAAAAAUUUAAAAAUAAUUAAACUAUUAAAAUAAUUAAUAAAAUGAAAGUAAAAAAAAAAAAAAAAAUCCUUUGAUCCCCAUUAUCUUCCCCACCCCGACCCCCCAUCCUUUCUCCCUCUACACAUCCAUCCUUCCCCUCCCCCUUCUCCCUAGAUUCCCUUUCGUUUUUUCUCUUGUUCCCUCUGCAUAGGCCCAGUCCUUUGUCAACUUUGAGAACUCAAUGCCGUCCACACCCUCUGCACAUCCAAGAACUCAGCUGUCCACUCCGUCGAGGUCCAGGAACCCGACAAGUCCCUUGUCCUCAGAUGGAAGCACGGCGACCCUCUCUUCCAUAGAAAUCUCGCCUAGCUGCAGAGAUUCAAGAACAACAACCAACCAACCAACCAAAUCUCAAUCAAACAACCAAUCAGUCAGUCAAUCAAUCAAUCAAUCCAAAUCCAAAAAUUCAAAUUGUAGAGAGAGAAAAAGAGAGGAGGCGUACAGAGAUAGCUUUGGGGGUGGCGUAGGGAGGGCGGAGCUCCGGUGAGGAAAUCAGAGAAAGAGGACGGGAGGGAGGGAUGGUGGUUGGUGCGGGUUGUAAAGGAGAGAAGAGAGGGAGGGAGAGGGAGGGAGAGUGGGUGGUUGCAGAGGAGAGAAGAGAGGGUGGGGGUUGUAGCAAGUGCUAGGGGAGGAGUGGAUGGAGAAAGGGUGGCUCGGGUAGGCAAGGGGUGGGUGAUGGGGGUGCUCGGAUGGAGAAGAUGAAGGGGGUGGAUGGGAUGAAGGGGGCGGAGGGGAUGAGGGAAGGAUGGAUGUGCAGAGGGAGAAGGGAGGGCGGUCGGGGUGGGGAAGACAAAGGGAUAUGGGGAAUUUUUUUUAAAAAAUUUUAAUUAAUUCAUUAUUUUAAUAGUUUAUUAUAUUUUUAAUGACACGUGGUGCCCAAUCAUUGUCCACAUGGGUGCCACGUCACAGUUAAUGGGAGACUUAACAGUUUGACUAACGGAUGUAUGAGACUGUCCCAAAAUUUACACUUUAGGUAUGACUCUGGGAUGAAAAAAAAUUGAUGUACUAAAUGUUGAAAAUCAUGAAACUUGAGGGUAGUAAAUAGUCUUUUGCCCAAAAAAGAAUGAUUUAAAAAAGGUGAUAGCAUGGAUAGGAUUAAUACUCAGCGGAAAUGAAAUUGUUAUAAUAAAAAUAAAAAAAUUGAAACUGCAUACCAAUGAAAUCAAGUUGUUUGUUUGAUUCGAAAAACUAAGAAAAGUAGAAAAUCAUCAAUGACCUAAAUCGACAAAACUAAAAAGAUUUUGCAAAACCUAAUUUAAUCACCCUACAUAUAUGAACAAUAAUAUACAAUUUAGGGUUUUGUAUGCUUUGCUUAUGUAAUGAAGAUUCAAGAGACUAAUAGCUUGAUUCAUUGUAGAAGGCAUCAAAAUUUCAUAUCAAUCCUAUGAAAGUUGUAGACUUCAUCGGCAAAGAGGGAGAUGGAGGUUACAGUACUUCGAAUCAAUGGAGUUCUACGUCAUUUCUUGUUUGCACUCUUAAAACUAGGGUUUCCUCCUUUUUAAUUUUAUUUUUAAUUACCUUCCAUAUUUUAUGUUUUAUGUUUUUUGAAUUUUAUUUUUAUGUUUAAUAUUAGUUAAAAUCCACUUAAGCAUCCAUGUUAUUUAAUGAAUGAAUAUGGACCUUUGGAUGUUUUGUAAUCUAAAGGUUUAAAAAAAGUGUAAAAAUAUUUGUCAAAAUGUUUGUCCCUUGAUCCUAUUCCUAUAUAUAUAUAUAUAUUAUUUUUUAUUUUUUUGAUGUAUGAUGCAAAAUAUAUAUAGGAGUUGAGUGGGUUAGUAAAGAUUUAUUUUUCCAGAAGGGUUAAUAUCUCCAUUAGCUAAACCAUUCCUUACCUUGCCCUUGGACUCUUAUUUUGUUUGUAUACAAUCAACGGAGGCCUCCUCCACAUAUGUUGCAACUUCUUCAAUAGCAUGCUAUUAUUUCGUCUUUCCCUUAAAUAAGUCAUCAAAUUUGGUGCUUUUUGAUCCCUAGUUGCUAUGGAGAACAACAAUGAAAUACAAUUAAUUCCUCUAUUCAAGUGGUACUCACUUUUUUAUAUUUUAUUUUAUUUUUAUAAUUAGGGUUGUUUUAUUUAAACCCCACAAUUUGUUGAAAACACCCCACAUUCAAAUUUUCUUCUUACAAUUCCAGCUUUACCCUUCGUUUUGUUGAAUCCUUCCCACCUCCAACCCACAAACAAUAAAAUCCCACAGCUACCCACCCCACAACCACAACGACAACUUUGCCGAUGGCCCCAUUCAAUCGUAAUUUUCUUUCUUUCAUAGUUACUUUUGUUUGGCAUUUGACAUAGGACUGAGGGGAAUGAUCACACAUGCAUUGGGCUAUUGCGAUUAUGGAUGAAAAUGCAGCCUAUAAAAUUGUUAAAAGCCCCUUUCCAUCAUUUCCAUGAUAGACAAUUUGGAUGUUGCGAUGAAAUUUUUAGAUUUAUAAAGUGUAUAGCUAACUGUAUGAAAUUUCAAUUUUUUUUUGUUUUGGCUAGGUUGAAUGGAAUCACGGGAGAAGGGUGGUGGUGGUGAGUGGGUGGAUAUGUUAGAUUUUUUUGUAUUUGGGAGGUGGGGUGAAUUCAACAAAAGGAAGGGUAAAGUUGGAAUUGUAGGGAGAAAAUUUAAUUAUGGAGUGUUUUCAACAAAUUAUGGGGUGUGAAUAAAAAAACCCUUAUAAUUAUUGUGUAAGGCUUGUUUUAUUAACACCCUACAUUUUGUUGACUACACCCUACUCCCCACAAUUGCUUUUUAAAUUAAAAUUUUUCAUCCCACGUAUUUUUAAUACAAGAGGAUGUCUUCCCAAGAUGCUAGGUUCAACAAAAAACAUUCAGAGACGAAGUCUUGUAAUUUUCCACAUUGGACCAUUUGUUGAAAAGUAUAUGUGUUCCAACCUGAGAUCAUCACACUUAGAAGUAACAAUUGUAUAGCAAUUUUCCUUUGAUCUUGGAACCACCAAUAUGUUCUUCCCACGUUUAUCAACAAUUCUGCAACUCGUCUUGGAAAAGCAAAUUUCAUUAGCAACUUUGUCACAGAGUUGACCAAUACUAAGGAGAUUAGUUGAUAAUCCAACCACAUAGCAAACAUCUUCAAGCAUAGGAAGUCCAAGAAUCUUCAACACUCAUUUUCCAACAAGCUUAGCCUUGUCUCCUUCACAAACUCAAUCAUACUACUUUUGAAUGGCACAAGAGAUUAAAAAAAAAAAAACAUCUUUAUCACUUGUCAUAUGAUGAAAGCAACCACUGUCGAGGUGCCAAGUGUCUGGCCUAGAGGAUGAUGUUGAACUUUGAGCAAACAAACACUUCCCAAAUCUACGUUGAAAGCCACUUGAACUUGACUUGAAAUUUCUUAAGCUCGAAGAAUUAACAAUCUUGGACAUUCUGCUGACCUUUAUAGUUAAACAAUUCACUUGUUCCUUUAGAUCAUUUUCCCUUUCCAUGUGUAGUUUUCUACACCUAAGUAUAAUGUGGCCAAGAUCACAACAAUGAUGACAUUUAGGAACGAAUCUAGACCCUGAAGUAGAGUUAGCCAAAGGAGAUAUAACAAAUAAUUCCUUACAAGCAUGCAAGUUCACACUCAUGGAACUUGAAUUGUUAUCAUCACAAGCAACCACAUCAUUACCUUCAAAUUAAUUUCUUGUAGCGAAUGCUCUUUCUGAUGAGUCAACACCCAUAGACAGACAGUUUAACUAACAAGUAGCCUCAUUCAAUCCAGAAGUCAACUUCAAAUUAGUUUCCCGAUAUAGUUCAUUGUUUUCCCGUAGCAAAUGAAUUUGUUGAAGCAGACUUUCGUGCCAUAUCAUUAACCUUUGAACAUGAUCUUCAAGAAAGGAAAUUAGGUCAUCCAUUUCAUCAUCAUCAUCAUAGAAGAAAUCUCUUUCAUUUAACUUGUGAAGUUCAUCCUCUAACCGUAUGAUUUUGUCACUCAGUUCUGAUCAAACUAGUCAAAGAGACACAACUUUCUUGCAACACAGAUACAUUUUUGGUAAGCUCAACAUUAUCCAAUGUUGAAACACACAUCUCAUCAAAUGGAGAUUCAUACAAAUUGGACAACUCCUGAGAUGAUGACAUAUUGGUAUCAUCCAGUACUUUGUCUUUUCCUCUGGAUGAUGUUUCAUCAACAGAUGUAACAAGCUCAUCUUUAUCAUCUGAUGACUUGUCUGAUGAUACAAAAUCUUGCUUAUCAUUGUCACUCCAAGUAGCCAUCAUAGCCUUUUCAGGUUUCUUACUAAGAAGUCUGGUGUUGUCACAUUUAGCUACACGGUGCUCACUUCCACCAUACACAAAAUAGGGGCCAGACACUUUAGAUAGACUUUUGUCCUUCUUUUUUGAAGAAUCACUAUAUUUCUCACCAGAAAGUAGUUUUUCACGAUUGUUUGAUGACCCCUCAGACCACUUGACAUCCCUUCCUUUGUUUUUGAGGCCUUUUCUAAAUUACUUGACAAAUAGGCAAGAUCAUCCUCUGAGAGCAAAUCACAAGAGUCACUUGUAAUAUUGCGGUUAUCAACACUUUGAAGAGCAACAUCUUUUCCCUUUUUGGUGACACCCUUAUCCAUGUCAAGCUACAUCUCAUAAGUAAUAAGUUUCCGAACUAACUUUUCGAGUUUAAUCUCAUUUAAAUCUUGAAAUUCUUGGAUGACAGCCUUCUUUGCUUGGAAUCUUUUGAGCAAAGAUCUCAAGAUCUUUUGAACAAUUGUCGUUUCACAUAUUGGUUUCCCUAAUCCCAAGGCUUCAUUCAUCAACAUUUCACCCUUUUCAUAUAAGGAAGAGAAGGUUUCUGACUCAAUCAAUCUUAGAUCUUCAAACUUUGAGAGGGUCAUUUGAAGCUUCAAAUCCCUCACUUGUUUGUCACCUUCAUGAAGGAUUCGAAGUUUGUCCCAAGCUUGCUUUGUAGUUGUACAAUAAUGAAUAUGAGAAAACUGAGUUGGCGAUAUGGCUGAUACAAUGACAUUUCUUGCCUUUCUAUUUGCCAUGAUAGAUGUCACUUCACCAGUAUUCUAUUCACUUUUAGGUUUGAUCUCCAACUCCCCAUCAACAGCUCUAGAGGGAGCCCUCCACUCAAAAGUAAGAUAAUCAACAGCAAGAAAAUUCGGAGCCUCAAGGAAAUUUUGCAACUUCUCACUCCAAGCCGUAUAAUUCAACCAUCAAAGAAUGGAGGAGAAUUACACGACCCAGCAACACGAUUACAAUCCAUGAUGUGAGACUAUCCAAUACCAAAUGAAUCUUGGAGAUUACUCUAUGUAUGUCUAAAGCAAGGCUCUGAUACCAAUUGAAAUUGGUACCAGGUGGAAUACCCUGCAAUAAAACCUUAAAAGCAAUUGUACUGACUAGCUAAUGUACUAGUCAAUUGAAUACAGAUUGCUAGAAUCCCACAAGCAUAUAAAUCAAACAAACUUAAAAGGUUAAGACUUAACAGUGUGAACUUCAGUUAAGCUUUAGUCUUAGUACUUGAGUUAAGUUCUAGUCUUAGUACUUGAGUUAAGUUCACUUGAUUAAUAAAGUGUCAAUACUAGCAAACCCUACAAUGUUUAGUUUCAACAAGGUUAUAAAUAAGGCUUUGUAAAGUAUUGAACACAAGCAAGUUUUUUGUCAGAAAAACCCACAUCUAGGUUAAAAAAUCAGGAACUCUCUGCUGAGUCCAAUCCACUAGUGUAAAUAAAGGUUCAUACAAAGACCACACAAGCUCAAUUCCUAGAUCCCUAUAUACGGAGCAGCUUUACCUUUGUGCAACCUUGACUUACACGAGACAGACUCAUGUCUUCAAGAAGUGGUAGCUCCUUCUGAGCUCAUCACCUUGUGGCACAAGGAUCAACAUGAUCAAUGAUGUGAUAUGAUUUUAUGAUAUGCACAAGAGUUUUGGAUUCAACUGACCAGUCAAGUUCUUCAGUCAAACAGUUGAAGAAAAACUUAAUAUAAAUCUGAUAGAUUAGUCUAUGAAGGAUAUGAAAACUUAGGUUUAGACCAAAAGCUUAAUGCAAAAUCAUUAAAACAAUGCAACCCUAAUAUGCAGUGAUUGGGUGUUUGUGCAUGAGAUGGUUUUGUGGCUAGGGUUUCGGUUUAGAAGCUUAAGAGGUAGCCCUAGCCUAAAUGCACUCUUUUUGUGAAAAUCCUUAUAAUGGAGGAGAUGAAUGUUUCAGACAAGGGGAACAAAGAGACAUGUGUCACAAGCUGAAGAGACCUUCCCAUAUCAAGGGUGAGAAAUCCAUGCACAUGAAAAGGUGUCAUAUGGGCCAUGUGGGCUGUCUUAUUUUGCGUGCCUAGACACCUGGAAAAAAGAUGAAAAUUAUGACUAUACAACUACAUUAGACAAAAGGAUUCUGAAAAAAUAAUCUUGACAUGCAUAUGCAAAUGUAUGAUUUAAACCUUUUGUAGUGAAGAUGGCUGGUCCUUUGACGAUUUAAUUCCAAUAGAAAUCCCAGAUCAGCAUUAACUCCAAAUUAUGAGCAUGUGUGGUAACAUUUACAAUUUUUUGACAAGUGAAGCAAAACAUUAAACCUAGUACUUGUCAUCAUGUGUAUGAAAAGUUAUUAAUACCAUUGGUUAAAAAUAAAAGGAACCAUUUCUAUUUCACACAGCACAAAAAAUGGCAAUUCAUUUUUCUGAAAAAAGUGUUGAAAAUCAAUUUUAUCGACAUUUAGGUUAAAAUGAAAGUGUAAACAAAAAAAAAUAUUAAGUUUGAAGAAUAUUCAAAAUCUGAGACAUAUACAUUUAGUAUUGAAAUGAAAAUAGCAUGAGGGAGUGAUUUGGUUACCAUUGCAUCAACCAAUAUAAUAUUAUAAUGUGUAAAUCAGAGAAUAGGGAUGAUAAUUUUAACAUUAAACCCGAUAACCGUGGAUAACCGCUCAAAUGGAUUAGAUUUAGGUAUGAAAAUAUAUUUUAGAAAUGGAAAAAAACCGUGAAUAUUAUUUAGUGAUGGUUUUGGAUAUGGUUAUCGGGGUCCCCAACCCGUUUCCAUCCUCAAAAUCAACCCGAAUAAUAAUAUAUAUAUAUAUAUAUAUAUAUAUAUAUAUAUAUAUAUAUAUAUAUAUAUAUUCAUCUCACCAAAUCCAUUACCUUGAGAAUACAAAAGUUGCUUUGUGUGAGUUGCAUUUUGUCGGAAAGUUCAAAAUGUUUGAAACAAAAUCAAUGAGAAUUCAAUGGUACUUAUGGAAGAUAUCAAAGAUCAGUGAACAUCACCAAUAUUUAGGCUUAAUUUUUAUACUCAACUUCAUUGAAUCAUCUUAUACAUCAAAUAUUUAAUGAUGAAAUAAAUAUUUAAUGCCUUAAUUGAAUGAAUAUAUUUUUUUUGUAUUAACAAAGAUAGAUAUAACUGUUAACCAAUGGGGAAUCUGUUAAUCGAUGUGUAUGGAUAAUACUCGCUGGUUAAUUUGCGGUUAUGUGUAUGGUUAAUUUUCGUUGUUAUAGGGAUAGAUAUAACAUUUCCUUCUCCAAACCGAACUGUUGCCAUCUCUAUCAGAGAACUGGUCGGAGUUGAAAUGCUUAAGUCUCCAAAAUUUGCCACGCGAACUCUAAUUGUUUUGGCCGGAUUGAAAGGGAUCUAAAUUACAUAUUAGAACUAUGUUCAUUGGACUUAAAACUCUGAAAGUAAAAUGUUAUAAUUGUUAGUAAACAAAUGUGUAAAGAGAGACCUAGUGAUAGGUGACACGCCCGACCCUGAUAUUCCCCGAAUACCAGGGUAGGCACGUGUUGGCCGACACCCGAAUGUGACGAAGCCAUACUAAGAUGCAUGAGAACUAAAGAAUAUAAAUAAGACUUAUAAAUUUAAAAGUAAUUAAUAUGCAAAUAAGGAACGUGUUCAGAGCGUACAACUAACUAGAACACUAAAAUGAAAUAAUAUAAAAUUGAAUGCAUACAGAAAGGGUCCUACAUUGAGAGGACUCUAAGAUGCCGAUGCAGGAGUGCCUUGACGCCGGGACUGUACGCCUCGAUUCUAAGUCCUAGCAUCAAGGCACUCCCACAUCGGCAUCUUCGAGUCCUCUCGGUGUAGGACCCAUUCUUAGAUUCAUUCAAUUUUAUAUUAUUUCAUUUUAGUGUUGUAGUUAGUUAUAUACUCUGAACACGUUCCUCAUUUGUAUAUUAAUUACUUUUAAAUUAUAAGUCUUAUUUAUAUUCUUUAGUUCUCAUGCAUCUUAGUAUGGCUUCGUCACCUUUGGGUGUUGGCCAGCACGUGCUUACCGUGGUGUUUAAGGAAUAUCAGGGUCGGGUGUGUCAGACUAGUAUUAGAGCAUACUUAGGACUUCAUUCUUCCAUUUGGUAACCAUAAUCCAUCGUUCUUCUAAAUCUUGUUUGCUUCUAUCAAAUUCAUGGAUCCUGCUGGUGGGAAUAUACCCCAAUGACAUCAUUCUGGUGUAAUGGGGAAAAUGUAGUAGUUAACCUCCGCCUUUCGGAAUGUUUUUCCUGGCAGCAGCAGGCCAAGUCGUACAUACAUGGAGAUUGCUCAUAGCCACGGCGUUAUGGAUCUUAGGGUAGUUAAAGCCUGUCAUGAGGCUAAAGAUUGGUUGGAGAAAAUGGAGGAUACUCUUGAGAGCAUGAAAUGCCCACUGACUAAAUGGGCGAAUACAGCUGGUUGCUUCCUUCAGGGGGAUGCGAGGUUUUGGUGGAAGUCAGCGAAGAGCUCUGGUCCACCUGGUUCCUUGAUGACUUGGGCCACAUUCAGGAGACUCUUCAGCGCACACUUUUUGAGCCCUAGUUAUCAACUGAGAAUGAGAUAAGAGUUUUUAGAGUUUUGCCAGGGCGACCUGAGCAUUUCACAGUUUGACAGUAUUUUUCCGCAAAUGUCGAGACACCAUGAGGAAACUUAUGGGAACCAGAAGGAAAUGAUGAUUCAGCUACAAAUUACCUUAAACCCAGACUAUCGCCAACUUGUGGCUGCACAGAGGCAUAUAUCCUACGAGAAGAUGAUGGAGACGUACUUGAGGAUCGAACAGUUAAGAUGAGACAGUCUUAAUCAGGAUCAGCCUCGGAGUCAGAACCAGCCUCGGAAUCAGAACCAGAAUCGGUGGGAUUGAGGAUUCUGAUCCCGAAGUAUAAGGGAGCAUUUUACUUCUUCUUAUUCCUUUGGCCCUAGACAGUUGCAUUCGUUCAAGUGACAAGGCCAAGGUUCGGGAUCAUCUAGUGACGGCUAAGGUAGUGAGUCGAUGAGACACUCUUUCAGCCACUAUAAUCUAUUGAUUCCUACUUGUGUGCGUUGUGGUAUGUGCCAUAUGGGAGAUUGCACUGUGAAUACUGGCACGUGUUGUAGGUGUGGUGGUAUUGGACACUUUGCCCGUGUUUGCCCUUCGGCACACCUAUCAGAAAAUUAUGCUUCUUGUUCAAGUUAUAGUGGGGGAAGUAACCCGAAUGCUCAGAGUUAUGGUGAUACUCAGAGCUAUAAUGACAGUAGUAAUCAGAGUACCUAGUUUUCUGCUCAACGAUAGCCAUAAUAUCCUGGAGUAGCUUUGGGUAAUCGCACUCAGGGGAACAGAGUGGACCGUAACAAUCAAGGACCUUGGUGGCCGUAACAAUGGAGCGGGACGUCAGGCUUAUAGGCAUAUCAACGCCAUAACUCAGAAGGAGGUGGAACAAGACCCUAGAGAUAUUACUGGUAUGUUAUUUGUUUAUGGUUUUUGGGCUCGUGUUCUUGAAUCAAAGUUACGCUUUCAACCUGUUGGAAAUAUGCCCUGAAAGUCAAUCUUUGGAAGAAACCUUUCAGGACAAAUAAAUCGAUGUAUAGAUGAAUCUUAUACAUCAAAUGGCAAAGAUACUAAUUAGGACUAUCUCAAUAAACGAUAUAUGUCCUAAAUAGUGUAUCCAUGGACAAUGGAUCGAUUGAAGAAGUAAUCUAAUGAUGUUAGACUACAGAGACCUUCUUCACAUAACCAAAUGUCCAAAAAGGUUCCUGGUCAUUGGAUUGUCGGAGGGAUAAUGACAAUGCUUAGACCGGUACAUACUGUGUCUGCUUCAAAUGGAAGGAUGGAAAGUCUCAUCACAUUCGUGUUGUGACACUAAGACAAGUAUGUAGGUGCUCAUUAAGGGAAUGAGUUCACUGAACACAAUCGAAUGAGAGUACUUGCAUGGAGGUCUACUCACAUGUCAAGCAAGUAACUCUAAUGGUUGGAAUAAUGUAAGUAGUCCUUUGACCUGAGGCAUCGUUGUUGUCUUGUGGUUAAGUACUUAAUCUUUGAUUAUGUCAAAGUCUCCCCAUUCGCGGGUGUCCACGACAUAAUUGGGGUUAAGCCACUUAGUCAUGAAGGCAAGUGUAUGCGCAACAAGGAAUCUCUAAUCCUCGAUAAGAGAUGAAGAAUACUCUAAGAUAUGAUUCGGGAAUCUUCGGCCGAAGUAUCGAGCGUAAUAAAGGAAAGCGUUCCUAUACGACUCAAAAGAAUCAUAUAAGAAGGAAUAAUCACAUUAGGGGUUUGACAUAAUAUUUCCAUACCCUAGUAAUGUGAUUGAGAGUAUUGUUUUAGAGAAGGAUCGAAUUACAUUGUAAUUCCAACUGAAUAGGUUCUCCGAACAAACUUCUACAUUAGCUUGGGUAGCCAUGAUAUAUGGUUAGAUGUCACUCAUGGCUUGUGAGUUCUUCUAAAUGAUUAAAUGUAGUCGUCAAAGAAGAAGGUGAAUUAAAAGUAUGUUUUAAUUCACUAAGUGAUUGGAUUAAAUAUAAUCAAUUAGAUUGGUGCCAAUCACCUCACUGCCUUGCUAAUUAGAACCUAAAAGAUUGCUCACCAAUACACUAUUGUAGUGAGUAACUAAUGGAUGAUGGAAAUAAUUAAUUGGAUUAAUUAAGUGUUGUGAUUAAUUUAGAAAGUCUAAAGAAAUCAUAAAAGCGAUAAAGAUCGUUUUGGGCUUAAAGAAACGUUCGGGUUUAAUUGGGCCCAUUGGGCCUAAACCCAUUGGGCUUUUAUUCAAGCAUUGGAUGACUUGAAAUAUAUAAAGCCCAAAGCCCAAAUCCAACACAAGAGGCCGGCCACUUUAAGUGGAAAGGGAGAGAUAUUUAGUCAAGUGGUUGACUAGGUUUCUUUUAGUCUAUAUAAGGAACUUUAUAGAGAUAUUGUUCAUGAGGGUUUUUGAAGUGUUAAAACAACAAAGAGGCAAAAGAAAAAUAGCUCUCUAACACUACAAAGGCCGGCCACCUUAGGGGUGUUUUUACUAACACAUCUUUCACCCUUUUGGUUAUUCCUUCAUCCUUCUCACUACACUAGUGGGUGAGGAUCUUUAGAGGUUUCCUACUUUGGAAACUUAAAGAGAACCUAGGAGCACUUAUUCUAACAAAGUGGAGGAGGCAAGGAGGGAAGCUAGGCUCAAGGAGUUCAAGGAACAAAGGGCUUGGAGGUGGUCCAUCCUUGGUCUCAAGUCUAGAUCAAGAGGUAUUAGACUAAACCUUUACUUUGUUCUUCUCUAAAAUUGUUUGAUGCAUUAUAUAUAAACCUAUGAACCUUGAAGGGGAUUUGCAUGACUAUAGCUUUGAUAAUUUGUUAUAACUGCUUCCGCUGCUUUCGUAUAUUAAAUUUGAUUUGUAUAUGCAUGAUAGUCAUUUUGAAAUCCCUAUAUGUGAAAACUCAUAAUUUUCCCUUCACAACCUAGUCAUCUUGUACUCUAGUUUUGAUGGAUUUGUUUUGACCCUUAAAUUCUUAAGUGUUCUUUAGCCUUCUCAGCCUAGCUGAUUACUAAAUUCGAGAGAAAAUCUUCAAUGAAUCAGCUCGCUUAGGCUUUGUGAAUCACAUUAUUUGAGUUUACGGUAUGCCAUAACUACUAGCACCUCUUUGUGACGCGCGUUUCACAUAUAAGUCUUGUGAAGUUUUCUUGAAGGCCAUAAGUACUAAGUUGUUGUUUAGUACUACAUUUCACAAACUAUUGGACAGUCUGAUCAAGUUAUCUAGACCUUGGAAGACGUUUUAUGUUCGCUUGUUAUGUGGUUUCGGCAUGAGAAUUUGCACCUUUGGGAAGUGACUGCUUGUUUAUCGAGACAACAAUGUGUUGUCGAUAUUGCAGGUUGCAGACUGUAAUAUCGAUGGCUUAUCGUUGAGUUCGCUAAGCAAGUAGGUAAGUAGGCCGUAUAUGUGAAGUGAGACAGGAUGCGAGCUAUGUUGAGGAGCCAGUACCGUAUAUUUUUAGUUAAGUUUGUAAUUCUAGGGAUGAAACUCUUACAAGGGGGUAGAUUGUAAUUCUAGGGAUGAAACUUUUACAUUUCCCCUAAAAGUUUAUGAAAUUUUACAAUUUGGUCCUCAUAUCCUCACCCAAUCCAGAUCUGAAUUUUAGAUUCUCUCCCUUUCUUUAAAUGCCACAUGGCAUACCUUAUCCCUUAUCCUUCAUUCUCUUUCUCAUCCCCCAAUCACUUCCAGCUCACUCAUUAUCUCGAACAUUUCCUCCUCUUCUCUCCCAGACCGAACUCACACCUACGCACACCCACACCACCAUCUCGAUGUCAGCGUAGCACCAUAAUCACCACCCUCGUGGACCUCCCCUCCCUCUUCCUCCAUUUAUGUGGAGCUCCAGGGCACCCAAAUUUAGGUUAAGCAAGCUCACGGAUCUCAAGCUAGAAUCCGGCCACCCCCAACUAUGUCACAGUAAAAUCUCAGGUACCAACUUCUACCCCUCAUUUCUACCUUCAAUUCCAUAGGUAGAUCGUAGGGUUUAGUGGCCAAAUGAAGGCAAUCGAAGCUCGGGAAGCUUCGACUUUCUUCCCCGAUGAGAAACAAGUCGAGUGACCCAAGUUUGUUGAACCCAGGCCUUUUAGGCCGAGUAAAACUCGAGCCUCAAGCCCGUUAAGCCUAACCCACCUAUUUUAUUUAAUUAUUUUUUGUUAAAAACCCCAAAAGGACCAAAGCCUUUAGGCCGAGAAACCUAGGGCCCUUGGCCCGCUAAACCCUUAGCCUAAGACCAAGGGCUUCAGCCAGUGAGCUUUAAACCAAACCCAAGAAACCUAAACCAGAGGUCCAAUACCCUAGGCCCAAGCCCAAACCGGUCCAAACCCUAACCCAGCCGCGUGUGAGCCUACACGUGGCCUGCACGUAGGCGACUGCCGGUGUCAGCGCGUAAGGUGCACGCACCACCAUCCACAGCGGCGUUGACGACAACUUUGGUGACUUUUCUGGCAACCUAUGGUGGCGAUAGGGAGGCAUGUGGCCAUACCUGAGGUCACUUUUUAUGUUAUUCGACGUUCUGAACCCGAUUAUGACUUCUGUUUUCUGAAAUUCAAUCGUUUCAGUAUAGUUUUGUUAAUUGUACCCUUUAUGUGCUUAGGUGCAAUUAUUAGCAACGAUUACGUCAUUCCUACUUCGUACAACUCUUCGACGACGAAGUAUUUGUGAGUUGACCCCUUCUAAAAUGCAUGUUUUAAGUAGAAAUGCAUACAUGAAAAACAUGAUUUAAUGACUACGUUUUAUGAGAUAUUAUGCUUACUGAAAAUAUUUUGAAUUGCCAUAUUUUAUCGAACUUAUGUUCUUUGUAGAAUAGAUGAUGGAUGACUUUAUACUGCUUAUGAACAUACUUUUGCACACUUCUUCAUAGUAUAGAUGAUGGAUGAAUUUAUACUAUAAAGAUGUUUUUGAGAUACACACACACACACACACACACACACACCUAUGUUUGGAAAGUCUAUGUUCAAUGGUUUGUUUGUGCGUGUCUAGUGGUCACAUAUUGACUUUCAGGUUAGGUGCUGUAGGAGCCUUCGGGCGAUGAUACUUAUAUUAACCUUUGGGUUAGGUGUUGUAGGAGUCUACGAUACUUGUGAAGGAAGUUUAUGAAGGAAGAGUUCUAUAUGCCUUCAGGCGAUACUGAUACCACUAGUUAGCACACUAUAUACGAUAUAUGUUUUAUGAGAAGUUUUUAUUUCAUGCUAGGGUUUCAGAAAACCUACCAUAUAUUAUGCUAUUAGUUUUCAUAAAACUUUGGGGGUUAGUAUGUUGAAUAACUGUUUUAUCUAAUAUAUAUUAACUUCGUCCGCUCAUGUUUGUUUUGUGCCCCCUCAGGACAUAGGAACGAGGAAACGAUCUGAGAUACGAAGCGUUCCCCUACCAGUGAUACCGCCUCAUCCUCUCUGCUUUGACCUCUAUUGUAAUAGCACAUCUCUAGUUCAUCUUCCGCUUGUACUUUGAAAUAUAAUAUGCUCUGAACAUGUCAUGCACUAUAACUAUGUUUUCAUUGUUGGCAAUGAAUAUUAUUAUAUUAUUUUAUGUGGUUCGAACGAAAUUUAUAUGCAUGUUUCACAUGUUCUCAGCAUUUGCAUUCAUAAAUGGCUUGUGUCACCUUCGGGUGUCGGUCAGCACGUGGCCAUCCUGAUGUCCCUCAAAAAUCGGGAUCAGGGCGUGUUAACAGGUUGAUAUGUCAAAGUCCUGAAGAACUUGCAUGUUCUUUAUCAGUUCAUCACUACCUUUAAUAAAUACAAAAAUAAGUUAAGUCAGAAGUUGAGUCAUGAAAGAAAACCCCCAAAGAAAAAGCCCUAAUUAGCGUUGUAGUUAUUGAGAGCUAAAAGACAACAAUAAUACUUUUUUUUUCCUUACAAAAUGUAAUAAUAGUGAAAUAUGUAAUGCAAUACAAAUAAAACAAGACACUAAAGAAACCAAAAUCUUAACCUAAACAUUGCUUUCUGCCAUUAGAAUUUCCUUUGUUUUUUCGCAUAACAUCCUCACCUACAAUGAAGUCACUAAGAAAAGUUUUACCAUCAACACAUGAAUGCGAACAUUUAUCUUCGUCUCAAUCAACACCCUAAGAAUCAAAAGCUAGACUUUACCUUUCUUUUACAUUUAUUAGUAAGAGAAUAAAGGAAAACAGCAAAAAACAGAAUAAAAAUUUCUUUGCGAAUUCACUUCAAUUUCCAAUACCCACUACAAAAUAAAGUAUCAUUAGCGUGGGUCAAAUGCUAUCAAAAAGACAUUUUGCCAUUGCAGAUACUUACUUUCGAUGGGAAAAAGCCCUCGUUAGGCGUCAAAAACUAUCUCAUUUGAAAUAUUUUUUUUACCGACCAACCGUAAAAAAUACUUCACUUUCGAUGCACAUGACUCAUCGUUACUAGUUAUAUUUAUGUCGGAAAUGAGUUUUCAAAAUGACAAACUUAUUAUAUUUUUUACAUAGAAAUGUGGUCGCAAAUACUUAUAUAGUUGUCAAAAUUACUUUCUGAAUGAUGAUAUAUGUUUUUUGCAAUGGUUUUUAUUUUGACCAAAACGAUCGUGUAGGAAAAUCUUUUUCCAACAAUAUAUUCUUUAUUUAUGACAAUGCACAAUCAUCGCUAUUACUUUUACUAACAAUACGAGUUUGUCGAAAAUAAAUAACGGCUUGUUAGAAAUAGGCACAAAAACAUAUUUGCAAUGAUCAAGCAUCGAAAAUAUAUACUUACGAUUGUGAAGCUUUGUCGGUAAUACAUAUUUGCAAUGGCAAGCUUCGUUGGGAAUAUAUAUUUUCAACAAUGAUGCUUUGUCAAGAAUAUAUACGGCAAAGUUUCGUCAAUAAUAUAUAUUUAUGACGGUGAAGUUUCAUUGGUGAUAUACAUUCUUGAUAGUGAAGCUUCAUUGCAAAUAUAUUAUUAACCAUGUUCAAUUGUUAGAAAUGUGCACAUUAACAAGAGGGAUUUAUUAUUGAAAAUUUUAUUAUUUUAUUAUAAUUAAAAUAUUUAUUGGAAUAAAAAAGAUGAUCAAAUAGGUAUGUAAUCAUUAAUAAUAAAUUAACAAAACUAUUGAAUUAAAUUAAAAGCAAAGUCUAGACACUACUUAAAACUAAAUAAAAUAAUAAUAAUAAAAAAAAAAAGCUUCCACGAAUAAAACUAAACAAGUUUAGAUAUUUGUAAUGUCAAAAUAAAAGUGAUGACACGCAACCUCUCUUCAUGUUGAGCAUUUGACCAACUUUCAACAUUCUCCUGUCAAAUAAACAAUAAUGAGAAUACUUAAAUAAACAAGUAAUAUACUAUUCAACAGUAAGACAAACAAUAAAAAUCAAACAAAACAAUUUACCAUAGAAGCAAAUAAUCUUGAGCAUGUGGAACUAUUUGAGUUGGUUGGCAUCAAUCUUUCAACUAAUUCUAGCAAAAAAAUAAUUUAUUUGUUAAAGUGCUGACUUGGCCCUUCUAUUGCUCAUGACUUUUUUCACGUUCUAAGCACAAACGUUUAUUACAACUUUAGCUAUUUGAGGGAUAUGCAUCUUUGGUACCUAAACAAGCACUUAUACCAAGAAUACGACCAUGACAUGGCCCACCAAUCACCUCCUUGUAUAUGACUCAAUUAUUCACUUCAUUUGUUUCCAUGGUAGUAUUUUUUUGUUGUCCAUUUUUUCUUCCAAUAAAAUUAUAAUAUAUAAGUAUAGGUAAUAUAAACAAUAUCAUGUAAACAAAUGGAUUCAAAAUGUGACAACAUACAUAAAGUUCGUUGGCCUUUUUACUUGCCCAAGUUUCUUCACCUUCACUCUUACGCUUACUCAAAUGAAAUUUUUUGAAACAAUCAAUCAAGCUAGGUUCAAUUUGGAAUUUCUAGGCCCAUAUGUUUCUAAGCCAAAAUAUAUACAUAAACUUAGUUGUUAGCAAAUCCCAGCAGCCAUGAAAAAUGAAUAAAACUGAAAUUGCAUAUAAAUAUUAAUACUGAUCAUUUUAAAUUAAAUAUAGAUGCUAAUACUGAUCCUUUCAAGAAAAUUACAUGCUAUUAAUGAUCCUAGUAUUCGAAUUUCAUACCUCCAAAAUAAAAGAAAACACAAAAAAAAUUUGGAUUCCCAACAUAAAAUUGCACAACAAGGGAAAUCCAAGGUCACAAAAUCUAUAAUACUGAAAAAGAAAUGGUAGGGAACUGGAUGAAGAAGAUGUCGUUAGGGUUACCUAUAUGCUUCUUUGCUAGUUUGAUCGUCUGAACUCCAAAUAUUGAAUAUGGAGAGUUUUUUGUUGCCUGCUUUGAAGGUUGGAGGCGUUAAUAUGGAGAAUGGCAUAGAUAUAGCCUUAAUCUAAUAAAGAGCACGAUAUCUAUUUUUAGUUAUGGUUAAGGGGGAGAAUCAAAUUGAUAGUGUGCCUUGGUAUGGAGUAUUAAAAGACAUGGUUGAGCUUUGUUACACUGAAGACAAUAGAGUUGUAUUGUUCAGUUUGAUUGGUAUGAUGUAGUGCGAAAAGGAAUGGGUUAUAAGAUAGAUCAUUACGGAAUAAUUAGUAUUAAUACAACUCGCAAAUUGAAUACUAAAAAGCCAUUUGUGCUACCAAAACCAAGCCUAAGCUUUCUAUGUGAGAGAGAUUAAAAAUAAGGCUCGGAGUUAUGUGAUUGAAACAAAGCUUAGAAAUGUUAUGAGAUGCCUAAUAAUGAUGAUGAUGAGCCAUACCAAGAAGAAGAGGCGCAUAGGGGUAUUCAGGCCAACCAAAAUGAUGAUGAAAUUGUGGUAUAAGCUCUCAUACAAUCAUGAUUGUGUUCUUUUUUUGUUUGACAAUUUAGUUAUGCAAGUGAUGUAAUUAUAAUUUGUUCAAUGUCCAUGACAAAUGUUAUGAGUUAACAAAGGCAAACAAAUUGUUUCUUUGUUAUAGAAUAUUAUAUUAAGUUAUACACCUUUUUGCUCAAUGGUUUUAUUUUUAUGGUCCAACUAGUAAAUUUUACCCGCACGUUGUUGCGGGAGCGAAAAUAUAACUAUAGACUAUAUUUUUAACAUAUAAAUAACCAAAGACUAAGAUAAACAUGUAGAAAAUGGAGCAAAUAUUUUUACAAAGUUGUAUAAGUUUAUAUGACUUACAGAAAAGACAUUGUCAAAUGCCUUUUCAUUGAUAUACAAAAAUGGCUAGUCUAGUAUUCCUCAUUGACAGUCAUCCCAGUGCUUCAUUGAAGGAUGAUUUUGUGAAAACAUGUUCAUUUGAAUAACAUCUAUAGCAUGCAUUUAACAAUUAAAAGGCGGAAUCAUGCUUGCAUGCAUUCAAAAACAAAACAUUACCCAUGAAAUUCAAAGCCUAGUAGAUUGGUGAACCAAGACUCAACUCAAAACAAAGUGAGUUGAAAUUUAUACCUUUGUAGAUUCCUCUUUGCAUAAGCAAAGGCUAAUCACCCAAAGAGAGGGCCUUCAUUCCUUGCAUCUAAAAUCUAUGGAUUUGGAUGGAAGAAUAGGUUUCUCCAAGUUCCCAAAAUUGAGAACCUCUAAGUAUCUUCACCAAGGUUAGAUUGGAGAAGAAAAUGAGUGACCUUGGAGUGGUAGGAAUGCUAGAUACACCCUCCAAGGGGGCCGGCCUCUUUAGAGAGAAAGGAGAGCUUUGUGUUCUCUCCAAUUUCCUAAAAGAAACCCUUUAUGAAUUUUAGGCUAUAAAGUUCUUUAUAUAGUCACUUCUUUAAAUGACCUAAAGAACCAAAAACCCUAAUUCAACACACAUGGCCGGCCACAUAAGGGAUUUGGGCUUUUGGGCCUUUGUGAAUCUUUAUUCAUUAAAUUGUCAUACAACUUAAGUCAAUGGGCUUGACGUUCGAAGCCCAUUGGGCCUUAAGGUCCAAAACUAUCCCGAGGUCUUUAACGAACUUAUUCGUUUGAUUAAUUAACAUAUUAAUUAAUCCUUGCCAUAAAUAAUUAAACCAUUUAAUUAUUCUUACUCAUCUCCAUUGUUUCUUCAAUCUCCACCUUACACGGUGUACGAUCCAUUAGGUUCCUUUUAGCGAGGCAAUGGACGAUUAAAACUGUUUCAAAUCGAUUGUGAAUUGAAACUUACUUUCAAUUCUCCCUUUAGUGUUUAUACACGUUUAGGGUUUCCACAAACCAAGAGUGACACCUAGCAGCAUAUCAUGGUUACCCAAGCUAAUCAGAAAAGGUAGAGAACCUUUUCAGUUUAGGAUUACAAAUGCAAUACGGUCUUUCUCUAAUACAAUACUCUUGACCACAUUGUUUGGUUUGAUAGUUUAUUCAUGUCUACUAUCCAAUGUGAUUCGUGUGCUUAUAUGAUUACCUUGAAUGUAAUUUGGAACGACUUUCCUAAAUCUCAUUCAUACUCUGGCCAGAGAUUCUUAAUCAUAUCAUAGAGUAUUCUCCCCCAAACGGUUUGAAGGUUAGAGAUCUCUUGUUGCGCAUUCACUUGCCUCCAUAGCUAAGUGGCUUAACCCCAACUAUGCCGUGGAUACCCUCCUGAUGGAGUGACUUUGACAUAAUCAAAGAUCAAGGACUUAACCACAAGACAACUAUGAUGCCUCAGGUCAAAGGACUACUUUGCAUUAUCCCAACCAUGAGUUCUCAUGUGACAUGAAUAUGAGAACUCUUCGUUGAUCGUGUUCAGUGAACUCAUUCUCUAUUGAGCACCUACGUACUUGUCUUGAUGUCACACACACCAAUGACUCGGGACUAGUCACUCUCCCUGAGAGAAGACACAGCACGUACUGAUCUUAACGGACUGUCAAUGCCCAAUUGGCAAUCCUAUGAUCAGGAACGUUUAGGAUGUGUCUACGAAAGAAUGGUCUCAUGAAUCUAACUUCUUUAGAUUGCAUUCUCCCAAUCACAUAUUCCUUGGACUUAUCGUUUAAGCAUAUAACAUUUAUAUGAGACGGCUCAAACAAUAAUCUUUGCCCUUGAUUUUAAACUAGAUUAGUUUAACAUGUGAAAUGUCCGUAAAGUAUCAUCAUAUGAUUGGUUUUAGGGCACAUUCCAACAUUCAUUUGUAUAAUUACUUGAACAUGGAAUAUCCCAUAAGAGCACAUUUUCCUUUAAGCGUUCACUGCAAAUAAAACAAUUUGGAUCAUCUGGAGAAAAAAAAAAGUUACAACUGAAACAAAAUGUUAAUACAAUUGUAAUUAAUUAGCAGUAAUACUUUUACAUGAAGGAAUCGGACAGACGAUGGAAAACUACGAUAUCAAUAAAUGAAAAAAAAUUUCAACAGCCAUCAUUCAUUUAUAUAUAUGAAUAAUAAAAUCCAUUUGCAUUAGCUCUGGAUCAAGUUCAACUCAAGGCUACAAAAAUUUUAAACCCAAGAUUCAGAUAGCAUUAUUCAACCCCAAAAACCAAAUAGUACAUUUAACCGACUUAACACGAUUGAAGGCAUAAAUCAAAUCUAGGAAAUUAUACUCAACCUGCAAUGCAGAAACGAACACUGUAGCUUAUAUACAUUCUCAAUGUCCUCAGCAAGUCAUCUCUCCAAUGGCUCUGCAAUCUACAAAAGGUUUUUAGAAGAUUAUAAUUUAAAAACUGAAUCACAUAAAAUUUCUGAAAUUAGGUUGCUUCUUACCAUAGUUAUUUUAUUCUUCUUAUUGGACGUUUCAGCAAAGCAUUUGAUUGACAAAGGCUACACUGUUUCACAAAAUGAAACAACAUGAUCAACCUACAAACAAAAGCAUAUCCAUCAAGAAAAGAAGAACAUAAAAUUUUACUUUAAAAAGAAAAAACGUGAAGAUCACGAAGAUUGUUGGAGAUCGAUUCCAAAAACAAAUACAAACCCAGUAAAAUUCAGCUCAAAUUCGUGCAAUAUAAUAUAAGCCAAACAACCCCAAUUUUCUCAGGAAACCAAGAAAACCCAAGAAAACGAAAAUGUGAAUUCCAAGAUCUAAUAAAAAGCACAGUGCAAAGAUAAAUUAUAUACCUGGCCCAUAAAGGGUUUGCAAACUCCCACAACAAAACCCUAAAGUUGGAAGAUAAACGUUUCCUGCAACCAAAAACAAAAUCAGACAAAAGAUCCACACGCAAAAUAGGAAAAAAUAAAGAAAACACUUAGCAGGAAUCGAAUUUUACAACAAUCAAUUAAAAAAAUUUCUUACCAACCAAGCACAGAAUAACGGCACACAGCAACCAACGCACCCAAAUCGUUGCGAUUCCUCCGCGGAAAACAGCGGGAAAAAACAGACCAACCACCCUUCUAAACGAUCGGAUCGCGAUAAAAACAGCGAGUCACACACAGAGAAACGCAAAGAGAUACGGAAAAACAGAGAGAAGAAAAGAAAAGGAAAUGAAAAAGUGGAAGAUGCUGGAAGUAGAAGUAAAGGUGUAAUGCUCUUCCAGUAUCUUUCCUACAAAACGCAACGUGGCCAAAGCUCAACCAAAAACACCAAAAAGCACCUUUCAAACGGGAGCAACAACUGGAAACAAAAAUGAAAGAGGGGUAAAACCGGAUGGGCACUGUUAAUGAACAGUACCCAUCCGCUGAGCUUUAGUAUAUAUAGAAUAGAAUAUCAUUUUUUAUCCUUUGUGCCACAAUCCUGUGGUUGGGUUGAACAUCUGAUAUUUUUUAAUUAGUUUUUCAUCCUACAACCGAUUUUUUUAUCAUUUGUUUAUCUUUUUCUGUACCACAUAUCAUGUGUGUGGGUUUAAAAAACCAAGAACAGGUUAAAAGAAAGAAAAAAAACUUAUGAAAAGACCUUGAAAACUUUGAGUUUUAAUGAUAAGGACAAAAUAAAGGUAAAGUGAAUAUUAUCAAGUUUGACUUUUUAAUGUAAAAAUGUGAUUUUUUUGUUAAAGUGAACAGUACCGUGAGUUUUUCGUUAAAACUUUCAAAAAAAGGAAAGGCUUCACGGUCACGGAUUGUGGACACAUGGUGUAGAAGAGCACCAAACCGGCCUCACCAUUUUUAAUCAUUUUCUUUCCCUGCUCUAAUUUUUUUUAUAAAUUUUUAUAGUUUGUCGUGCCACACAACAUGUGGCCGGAUUUAAUUCAUAUUUUUUAAUAUAUUUUUUGCCUGCCAUCAGUUGCUUUAAACACGAUGACAGAAGAAUGGCCUAGGAGGGCAAUGAAGUCAUUUUACUGUGGAAAAGAUGGCAAAAAAGUGGCUUAACAAAGGAAUUGAGGGGCAUUUUGGUCCGCGCACUGUCCGUGAACAGUACAACGUGGUUGGGGUUUUAGUAUAGGUAUAAUGUUCUACAUAUGUAUCCUAAGUUAUAUGAUAUAUUUAUUGUAGAAUAUUAAAUUAAGCAUUCAACUUAUUUUGAGAAUAUUCCAAUGACACAUGUGACCAAUUGGUAAAUGGUUGAUUCCAAUAGAACCAUAUGUCUUUUAAAAAAUUAUUCUGACAAAGAAAAGAUAUUGUCUGAAAAAGUAUGAUCACUUCCGACAACAACGAAUCACACUUGAAAAUAUAAAAACAUUAUCGAGUGGACUAUUUUUUCCUCGAAAAUAUUAAAUCAAUUUUGUCAAUGUGAGCAAACCCUUGGUAAUAACCAUUAUAUUUCCAACAAGAAAUUUGUUUGUCAUUAAUGCAACUACGCCAUGUCUUUGCACCAAAAUGUGAGACAUGUUUCGAGGACAUUAUUAUAUGUGUCAGUAAUAAAGUUAAGUUUAGUGACAUGUUACCGACAACCAAUAUUCUAUGGUCGAAAUAUGUACUUCUUACAACGAUAUUUUUUAGACCCUCAAAAAAUCUUCGUUGGUAAUGAUCACUUUUUUUGUAGUCACCACAUAUAACUUAACGCAACUACAGGGAGGAAACCGAAAAGAAAAAAAAAAUCACACAUUUUAAAAUUGUCGAUGCACAUACGUAUCAAUAAAGUACAUUCUUUAUUUAUUUAUUUAUUUAUUUUUAGUUUGAAGUUUGAAUUCAAAUCACAUAUGCCGCAAGCAACCGAUACAUUCACUGGAAACAAAAGGUUGAGAUUUUUACCUUCCAGUUCAGCAACGACUACCAACACAACAACCCUAAUUCAAAUGUCAACCCCCUUCUUCAAUAGAACAACUAUGUUACACAAAUGUAUCAAAUUAGAAUCAAACUAAUGAGAUUGAAGCCAGAAUUAUCUAUUCUAAAGUAGGGGGUCUAAAGUAGGGGGAGGGCAGGCACUAUUCACGUUUGUUUUGAUUUUGCUUUAUUUACAACAAUGCCAGCCGAAUGUGGCUGGGUUGGGAGGUAAUUCUCAAAAAUUCAGAGGGUGAUUUUGUCUUUUGAGGUCAAUUCCUCCCCCCUCGAUUUUGCUUUAUUUACAACAAAACCGUGGGAUUUGGGGCUGGGUUGGAACGUAGUUAUUAAAAGUUAGGAGGGUAAUUUUGUCCUGUGCAUUUGAGACGGAUUGGGGUGGGUUUGGGUUUGCUGUCAUUCAGUGCAGGUUUCGGGGAUGGCAGGCUAUGCUUCCUCUAAGAGAUGGAUAGAGACAGACGGAGCGAGAGAGAGAGGGAGAGGAAGGAGUGGGGAUCUCAGCACCAUUGCUGCAGAUCCUCGAUUUCAUGAGUGGGAGUGAUGUUUAGAGAUUUUUUUCCCACUUUUUGAGGGACGGAUGGACAGGGAGAGAGAUAGGGCAGAGAGCAUGCUGUGUGUUUUUUGGGGUUAACGGGUUACCCCACGGGGUUGGUGAGCAGAGGAUGUCUGAGGGAGGUAUGGGAGAGGAGAGGGUUUUCGGUUUUGUCCUCUGAUUCAACAGGUAAAACACUGUUUAGAAAUUAUUGUUCAUUGUUUGUUUCUCAUUUGCUUUGUUAAAACUGUGAUUGACAUUUUUUUGUUUCAAUAAAAUUGUAAUGGAUGUUUAUAGCCUGUUUAGUUGGGUGUUAGGAGGAUAGGUCUGUUUAGUGCACUGUUUUGUACACUGUUAGAGUCAGGUUUGUGUCUUUUAAACUUAGGUGUUGCACUAUGCUCAUUUCUGUUUUCUUCGUGCUUUGCUGCUGUUUCCUUCUCAACAAGUCGAAUUCAGGUUCCUUUUCUGCUUUUCAUCCUUUGAAUAUCCCUCUGUUGCUGGGUUGUUUCUCCAUGUUUUGUUGCUUCCCUAUUUAUGAUAAGAGUGUUAGAAGGCUGUUUCAUUUAUUGUUUUGCUCUUCUGUUGCUAGGUAGUAUAAUUUUGAAACAAGGUUCUUCUCUGUGUUCAAAUGCAUCAUUGUUUUUUGUUCUUCAGUUUCUUUUUCAUCAUUAGCUAUCUUAUGAUGGUUGAUGGUUUAAUACCACUUGGGAAUUCACAUGCCACAACAAUAUUAAUUUCCAAGGUCCCCUGUUUGCAGCUUUAGCACGGUAAAACUUUAGUCUGAUUUAGUAUUGUGCUUUAGAGUGAACUUUGAGUAUUGACGUAGGUGCAUGCAAGUAGUCAAACCACGUACAAAGUUUGGUGUUCACGUUCUUUGAUUGUAUUCCUAAAUUUGUGUUGGAUAUGCAAUUAUAUGUUUGAAUAUAUGUAAUCUUAGUGGUUAAGACGGGUUAACAUGUAAAUGUGAAUGAGUAAUAGCUUCUGCUCUUAUGAUCCAAUCAUGCAAUUUAUAGAGGAUGUUUGUCAUAGAAUAGAUCAAAUUGAAUAGGUUUGGUAGUGAAGGCAGAUAUAGGUGCUGAAGGAAGAUGUUACUGAUUCAUCAGUGUGUGUUAAGCUCACCACAAACAGGAGUGAGAGGAAUGCUCAUAGCUUUGGACUUAUUGAAUUGUUUUCCUUUAGGUUUGAAAAGAGAUGUAGUUGAUGUGCUAAUUUCUGUGUUUAUUCUUGCUUUGCUGCUGUUUUCUUCUCAACAAGUCAAAUUGAGGUUGCACUGUGCUCAUUUCUGUGUUUCUUCAUGCUUUGCUACUGUUUCUAAUAUGAUUUAGCUAAUGCAAAACCUUUAUAUUGAUUCCCAUUGACCUUUAUUUCAUAUUGUUUCCCCCUUUAAUUUUAGGUCAAUGCAGCAAGAAGGGCAGGAGCUCAUGGUGUAAUUGUUGGAUGCGCUUCGUGUAAUACGUAUGUGAUAUGAUAAUUUGGAUUUUCUUUUUCCUUUUGGUAAAUUGCUGCAAGAAUUUUCAAAUUUGGUUAUACUGUACAUAGUUCAGGUCUCUAUCUUAUGACCCUUAUAUUUUUGUUUCAUUUUUGUGUAUGCGUGUGCAUGUAAUUCUAGCCCUUCGAGUAAAACUAGAACUCAUUCAGUGGAGUUUUAGUUUCUUAUCAAAGAAUCAAAUGAAAUCUUCAUGUGAAAACAAGUGAUUAAAUAGAAGAUGAAAACGUGAAAGAAUAAAAUUAGGGGUACCUGAUUUCUGUGAAAUUUGAGCAGAGUGUUUGCAGGUGGGAAGAAUGAAACCACUUAGGUUGAGCUUUUCUGGUCUAAGAGUCUUAUCCAAGAAAAGAACACAUUUUCCCUCCACUGUUAUUUAGCUUACAACAUCUCGCAUCAUGUAAGUCUAUCUGCUGCCCUUGAACCAAAUGCAUCUUGCAUUGCCAAGGAAGAAAUUUACUGGAAAGUGAAAAAUCAAGACUUGAAUGAAGACUAACUACUAGCUUUAAUGAUUCCACCAUAUUAAAUUAUCCCCAACAUGUUGGGUUUUAAGAUUCAUGUUAACUUUAGUUUGGGUUCUUAUAUAUAUAUAUAUGGAAUUCUAAUAGUCCUCUCUAGCAGUGUUAAUUUGUGACUCCAUAGUUGACUGACAACGGCUGUACAUUUUUCAAUAGACCAUGGCAUGCUUUGGGACAUGUUGAUUCUGUAGUUUAUGGAGCACGAGUACAUUUUGUCUGGCCGGAUCCAAUGUGGUUAGCGCAGAUCUCCCUCCCUAUUGUAGAAAAUCCGUACUUAACAAUGUCAUUGUACCUUGAGUUAAAAUAAAAUUGUAGAUUUGGAUAAUCACGUGGUAGAGAUGGAAAAGGAAUAAGGCAACGGAAAAUAGACACAUCAAAACAUGCAGAACUUUAAACAAAUUACUGUAUAUUAAAAACUAUUGUCACUCCAAUCGUGAUACAACAACUAAAGGAUCAGAGUGACGUCCAGAACUUUUAACAUCCUGCUUUGCAAGAUAAAGAUGUGUACCUAACCUAUGGUAGUUAAAACCGAAUCAAGUAAAUAAUGUACAGGUAAAACAAUGAAGCAUAAAGGGGUAAUUUUGUGAGUACCAGAUGUUGCUCAGGAUUAUGCUGAAUACGUACAGUGGGUAGAACCAAAUUACCUGCAGAGCAAAAAUAAAUAAAUGAAAAUAAGCAAAAAUGAUAUGUUCUGUGAAUUCAGAAAAUAAUUGAAUCCCUUCAGUAAUUGGGGCAUCUACAAUGAUAUGUUCUGCUUUACAUCCUUUGAAUAUCCCUUUAUUGGUAGAUUGUUUCUCCAUGCUUUAUUGCUUCUGUAUUUGCGUGAGAAGGGUGUUAGAAGGCUUUUUUACUUAUUGUUUUGCUCCUUUGUUGAUGGAUUGUUUUUGCAAUUCUUGCUUCCUUAUGUAUUUGUCUGAUAAAUUUUUAAUUUUUUUCUUGACAUGUAUGUAGAUCAAACACAAGUCUUGACAAUUGGUUGUAGGAAGCUCUCUGUACUCAAGGUAAACAAUUUCAACUUUUUACUUCUAAACCGUAGCUCUUAGGGUUUAUUCACCCAUGUAAUUUUCAGUCAAAUGAAAUAAUUGGCACUGCAAGCUUUUAAGUAUGGAGGGAUGUUUGAUUAUAUGAUGCAAUGUGAUGAACAAUUUUGUUGUUUGAGCUUAUAUUGGAACUGAGUUUUUUUCUAUUUAGUGUGCGUAUCAAUAUUUGUCCAUUUAUGUCAGGGUUGAGAUAACUAAUCAUCCAUUUGGUCAUUUUACCUUAGAAUGGAACUAGGCUUUUUUUUUAUUUUGUGCACGUGUCUGUAUCUCUCUAUUUAUGCAAAGCUUGAGACAACUUAGCAUGUAUUUGUAACAAACCCCGUUCCAAUUGAAUGGUUGGUGUAUUUGUUCCAAACGCCAUUCGAAUUGGAUGAUUGGUUUAUUUGUUCUAAACCCCAUUAGAAUUGUAUUUGCUUGGCUGGUCUAUUAGUAUAGGGAUAGUUAGAUUAGGGAUUUUGUUUUGCCAUUUUGUGAUUGAGAUCUAAUUACAGGUUUUGUGUUGCAAUUCUCCAUGUUUUGCUGUCUGUCUUGUCUGUGUAGUUAGUUUGGAUUGUUUUUAGAUUCUUAAAUAGUGCUGCUUAAUAUUGUUUGUAAGGUUAUUUUCUUUAUCAAACAUUUUCCAAAAAAAAAAAAACUCUCCCAAAUGACAAACUACAGGCUAUUUAUAGCACAAUAAAUACAUGCCUUUGUCUCUAUUAAACAUUUUUAUCGGCUUCAGGUGAUUAAAGCCAUGUAGAAAGCAAAUUUAUAGGAAGCAUCUCCAUUGAUUAGAUUUAAAUAAAAUCAUAUGCAUCUCCCUCAAUCAAAUGACACUUAUUAAAGACCAUGCUUAGAAAAGAAAGCAGCCAAAUUUAUCUUCCUAUACAAUGGGAGACCAAAACUUAGAAGCAACUAGUAAGUUUCUGAUACUAUUACAUGCUUUGUCCAUGACUACAUCAUCUUAGGAUCGCAUUAGAUUAUUAUAUGGUUAACUGGUAAGUUUCUGAUGCUAUUACAUGCUUUGUCUCAUGGAACCACAUUGCGUUUUAGGUUCAGGGUGGAGUUAUGACAAAAUUAAGCAUUACUACAAACAACGAAGGGGAAAUAUAAAAUAUCAUGGAAAAAAUUCUCAGCAGUUUUUUUAAAACAAACUUGAACUUGCAGUGCUGUACUACACCAAAACCAAAACAAAUCUGCAGAAGUGUUUCACAUUCUGCAUUGGUAAAAGGGUUUAAUUUGAAUAUCUUUUUCUUGAGUUGCUUUGCACAAGCCUCACAGUGCAUGUUAACUUCGAGUUCUGCAGUUACCGCUCUAUUAACCUGAAGCAAAAAUAAACCCGCUUUAUAAGUCCACUGUUUUAACAAAUGUAAUUUUCUUUUCCGGUGCUUUCCAUUUCAGACAAUGCGACUUUAUGAACUUUUUAUUUGAUGUUAAGUUUGAUCGACUUAUGUUAUUCAUUUGGUUUUGGCUUUGUUUCUCUUUUUUUCUUCUCUUUGUGAUCCUCUGAUUAUCCAGACAUUUUCAUACCUAAGAUUUUAUAUUAUCAUCAUUUUGUUCAAAUGCACCAUUUCCUUUUUUGUUUCCCUUCUCUCAUCUUGCAAGCACUCAUGAUGUUCAUUUCCUUUUAAUUUUGGUUAAUGCCGGUUUUGAAAUUUUUGAUGAUCGUUUUCAUAUUUCUAUAAAUUUUGACAGAAAAUACGAUCUGAAAAAACACAUUUGUCUCUAAGUAUAAAUUACAUUAGUCUAAUUAUGGCUAUGAUAAAAAACCAUGUGAUCAACUAUGGUUUGCUUAUACUGCAAUUUCAAUUUGGGAAUUGAAUUUAUUUACAGAAUUAUGAUCCUUUUUAAAAUUUAGAAAAGAACAUGUUAAAAGACCAAUUUUCUUUACAAGAACUUGAAUAAAAAGUAGACCAUGAGAGUAAACCAACCAACAACGAUUAUGGUGAUUCAGUAAUUUAAACGUGAACUAGCUUUGAGAGUCAUACUCACCCAUUGUCGGUUUUCCUUUCGAGCAUAUUUCCUAUCCAAAGUUUCCCAAACUGUGUUCUCAAACAGCUGCAUUGGCAUGUAUUUCCAACUUCUAAUAGUCUUUGGUCCCCAUACUUUCCAGAAUUUGUUUUGGAUCUUGAUAAUAGUUGCUAUAUUGCUUGGAAUUGUCAAUGAUUUCAGUUCUUCGUUUUCUUUUCUCUGAUAGAUUAUUGUUUUUCAAUUUAAAUUUUACUCUUUUCCAACUUAGAGUGUUUCAUUGAAUAAAUGAUACAUAUUUUUCUCGAAGUCAUUUCAUUGUUUGUUUUCCUUUGGAGGAUUGUUGUGCUUCGGUUAGUACCAUUCAGGUUUGUCCAUUUGUCAAUCAUCACUGCUCAUGUUUGUGAAUGUGUGGCAAAGCAUUGGUGAUGCAAUCUGUCUAGACAAAAUAGAUAUCGUCUUUUAAAGUUAAAUAUGCUCCACUUUCUGCAAAAAAAAAAUGGCAAAAUGGUUAACCAUCUAUUGGCAAAAACUAAUUAGUGACAUCUUGAUCAACCUGCACAUAUUGCUAUCUGGCCACUAAGCAUUAUGUUUGGGGCAUAGGGUGCAUUUUCUAUGGUAUGGGGUAUCCGGGAGAAACUGUUUCAAGAUUAGGAUUUUGUUUGUAAGAUUUGCAGAGAGAUGGGGGUGUUAUAGUUUUUAUGUUUAAUGUUUUGAGACUCACCCUUUAUUUGGUGCACUUUCACAUAUUGAGUCCGUUAUACCAUAACGAUUUAAGUUACUCUUAUUGUAUCUGUUUGUUUGCACUUCGAAUUCUUAAUCACAGUCUCAUUGCUUUUUUGUAGUUUAGAUCGGGCUCGCAUCGUGGAAUCAUAAUCUGCUCUUGCUGCUGCCUUUAAUGAAGGGGUUCUGAGCCAUUACAUUUCAAUCAAGCCUUUGGUAUGUCCUGAACUCGAAUACGUUGUUUCCCAUGCUUUCCAUUUCAAACAAUGUGAUUUUGUAAUUUUUAAAAUGACUGUUUGGUUUUUUUUUUCGGCUUAUAUUAUAUGUUUGUUCUGUGCUUUGUUUCUCAUUCGUGGUUAUCUUUGUGACCUCUGAUUGUCCAGAGGUCCGAUAGUUCUUUCUUUUUUUUGGUUUAAAUUUUGUCUAUGCAAUUUUGUUAACAACUGCAAUUACUUUGGUUGGUCGAUGUUUUCGUUAGGUUUUUCUGGUAGUCAAUAUCUCAUCCUCCCUGAAGUGCUUUAAUAAGUACUAUUAACAACUGCAAUCUCUCAACAAACUAGACAUAUUUCCAAAAAAAAAAAUCACAACUUCCAUAUUUAAAAUUUUGAAAUUUUUAACUGUGUUAUUCUAAAGACCUACAAGCUAAACAUAUUUUUCUAAAAAUUAUAAAUAUUAACGCUAUAUUUAAUUUGUGAUUCAGGGUAGAUAAAAUGGUGAAAGAGAUUGAUCGAAGCGAACAACAAAUUUUAGGAGGAGUUUUGGUUAAAAAUUUAAAGAAACUGAUUGAGGCUCGAAACAAUGAAAAGAUUCGAGGAACAAAACAGAUAUAUAGAGAAACUGCCCCAGGACCCAGUACAAAGAAAGCAGUGAAAAUAGAAAAAAAUAAGGAUGGGUUUGCGUGUUUAUGGUAAAGGUGGAAACCGAAACAAAUUGGUGGUUCACAUUAUCCAUUCACCUGAAAAUCGUAGUAAUUCGCCAAAAGAACAAGUUCCGUUGGAUGAAGAAGUUUAACAUUUUUUUUGGGGGUUUUUUGGUGGGAUCUAGGCUAGCCCGCAGAACAUAUAUUUUGCCAUCUUAACUUUAAGGCCAAUUUAAAUGUUAAAUGCAUGUUGCUCCUAUUUGUUAGGGAAACAUAGCAUGUUUUUCCAGUUAUAUCUUUUGUAAUAAGCUUGGUUGAAUAUAUGUAAAAGCGGAACUACUUAUCUUACCGACACCGUUCACUCAUAUAUUUUUUUUUUUCGUUCAUGAUUGUGUUGAAUUUUUUUUCAUGUUGCAUGUGUUUAAUUCAUGUGGUUAAGAUUCGUGCAUUCAAGUCCCGUAGCAGAUGAUCCUAUUGGUCUUUUUCUUUGCACGUCCAAUCUCGCCUGUUAUUACACUGUUACCUGAGUGUUCCAGCAGAACAAAACGGAUUCCUGCACCUCCUUAAACUAUGCAUUAGAAGAUUUUCACAACGACACUAAGAAUAAAUAGGACAUGAUUAGAACUUCUAAAAAUUGAGUCUUUCAGAUAAUAUAUUCAACUUUAUUCAAUUCAAUUUAAAAUGUACAAUCCCCGAAUCUAAAAGAUGGUGAGUGUAUUUCUUUCAUCAUCAUGAAAACUUCUUUUCCCCAAAAAUUGUUCUGCUUCUGUAAUUAAGGCGAAAGAGAAAUAGAAUUGCCACAAACACUGCUAUGUCAUCAGGUCUAAAUCUUUAAGACAUAAUUACGUUGGUUUAGGAAAAGUUUAGGACAAAGUUAAGUCUUCGUUUUUCAAAAAUCAGAAAGGUGACAAUGGAGUAAGGGUGUAAGUGUUGCCCAGGAUCAAGCAAAAUGAGUGAUACAUUUAGCAUUUACACACUAAAGUAGGCCAAAAGUGAAAACCGAUUAGUAAAGAUUAUGAUAAUUCACUAAUUUAAACAUAAACCAGCUUUGAGAGUGAUACUCACCCAUUGUCGGUUUCCCUUGCGAGCGUAUUUUCUACCCAAAGUUUCCCAAACUGUUCUCAAACGACUGCAUCGGCAUAUCUUUCCAACUUCUAAUAGUCUCUGGUGCUAGAACAUUUUCUAACUUCAUUCUAAAAAAAAUAGAUUCUUAAGUAAAGACAUCUAAAACCAGGUAAGUAAGCAGUUUAAUGAGGACGAAAUUCAAAAGUAGACCCAAAUUGUUAGAUAUUCCUUGGGAGUAAGCAUUGUUCGUUUUUAAUCGCAAAUGGUAGCUGAAAUUAUCUUAUUUAUUACCACCAUUGAUUUGAAUUUGUAAUACACAAUGUUUAAAUCAUUUGAUCGUCAGUCAGUUAAAUUUAAUACUGGUGGUUUGGUUGUGAUCAAAUUGAUCCAAUCUCAAAAAGUGUGACAUGUGAGGUGAUAACGGACUAACAGAGGAGAAUAAGUUGAUACAUCUGUGUUUGAUUUACAAAUUUUGGCAAAUUCUUGCCUUUUUUUUGGUUUCAUGUUGACAUAUAUCUGUCUUCUUAACCAAGUAGCGAUAACUUGAGUUUCUAGAAGUUUUAAUGAGUGGUUUAUUGAAUUGAUUUGGACGUGUGGUUUAUUCAAUUCGAAUUUGGAUAUGUGCUAAUUUGAAGAACUUGACAAAAUCUGAGGAACCUUAUUCACUAUUUGGCCAUUACAUAAAACAUCAACAUAAUUUCCCUCGCUUUCGCUGAUUCUCUGUGAUUAAAGUCUAGAAAAAUACAGUGAAAAAGACGCAACUUUUUUAUGGGAUUGACAAUUUUCGGAUUCAAAAUAUUCCUAAAUUUUUUUUGUUUUGAUUUUUUAGUGUCUUUGGUCAUUUAGCUAAAAUUUCAUUAGCUUUCGUCUUUAAAUUUGAAAGUCUUAGGGUUGCUAAUGGAUUUACUUUUUGCAUAUUUCAGAAAUUUGGACCGCUGGAGGAAGAAGUUGGUUUCUUGAUGUUUUGAGGUAUAUAAUUAUGUGCCAUCAUUUUUUUCAAAGCCUAAUUAGUUUUCUACCUUUUUUUAUUUAUAUUCGUGAAGCUUUCAUGCUUGGAUUUUAAAUAUAUGAUUAAUUUUUGUUCAUUUUAGCUUAUAUUGGAACUGAGUUUCUUUCUUUUUUAUGUGCGUAUCUGUUAUCUAUCCAUUUAUGCGAAGGUUGAGUAACUAAGCAUUUAUUUGGUGGUUUGAGCCUAGAAUGGAAUUGGGCUUCUUUCUAUUUUGUGAACGUAUCUGUAUUUGUCUAUUUAUGUAAAGAUUGAGAAAACUGAGUAGUGGGUGUAUUAGUUCCAAACGACAUUCAAAUUGGAUGAUUGGUUUAUUUGUUCUAAACCCCGUUACAAUUGUAUUUGCUUGGAUGGGCUGUAGGUAUAGGGAUAGUUAGAUUACGAAUUUUGUUUUGGCAUUUUGUGAUUGGGAUCUAAUUCCAGGUUUUGUGUUCAUGUCUCCAUGUUGUUUUUGUUCUGUUUAUGUGGUUGGUUUGGGAUCUUAUUGUCCAAUGGUUGGACGGUUGGUUUGUUUUUUUUUUUUUUUCUUUUAAUUUUGUUUGUGUGAUUCUGUUAGGGUUGAAGGUGCCUUGCUAACUCUCUUAUUCUGGUUUAGGCCAGCAUUGUAGCUUUUUUUAUCAAACGUUGUUAGACAUUUCAUCUCUGUGAUUCUGUUAUUGGUUGGUUGGUGUUUUAAUUGGGUUUUUUUCAAUAGUUAACUAUUUCAUCAUUCCCGAAUUACUUUAACAUAUGCUGUUCAUAACUGCACUUUCUCAACAAAUCAGAUUUUUUUUUUUUAAUAAAAAAAACCCAUGUCUUAGAAAAUGAGUUGCCUUUUAACAACGCAUGAAUACAUGUUAGAUGAAAUAGUUAUACAGAGAAAUUAUCUACUCUAUUUAUUUCUACUAAGCAAUAUUUCUUUGCCGAGAUUAUGUCCAACUUUAGCAUACUUGAAGCCGCUAUGCUAUGCCAUCAGCUGCUUCUAAUUUUCUAAACAGUUAAUACUAUCUUAAAAUUGAAAUUAUGAUUCCUUAUAAUUGAAAUGCUAAUGAUUCGAACCUCAUGACUGAAUUAUUAUAGCUCUGUAAGACUUAUACUAACAUGAAUAAAAGUUGCUGACAUGCUUACCAUGUUAACUCAUAUCCAUUUGCUACUAUUCUCCUGCUUAUUUGAAGACGUUAAGAGUAGUGGAAGAAGAUAAAGAGCUUGACUUAGUGAUCCUGUUUCCUUUACAUGAGGAAAGAAACAUAAUAAAAGUUAAUCUUCCUAUCAAUUUCCAGUUCAUUAUAGCGUUGGCCGAGGCCUCUUGCAGUUUACUCAACAUUUCACUUAGGCCUUAACCUUUGGUAUUCUUCGUUGAACCAAAUUAGUUCUAUUGGAUUCAAAAUAUAUGUAAUUUUUUUUUUUUUUUUUGGUGUGUCUUUUUGGUCAUUUGGCUAAAAUUUCAUUAGAUUUGGUCUUUAAAUUUGAAAGUAUCUGAGUUGCUAAUGGAUUUACUUUGUUUGCAGAUUUCAUAAAUUUGGAUCGUUGGAGGAAGAAGUUGGUUCUAUACCGUUUUGAGGUAUACAAUUAUACGCCAUCGCUUUUAUUCAAAGCUAAUAAGCUAUCUACCUUUUUUUAUUUAUAUUUGUGAAGCUUUCAUGUUUGGAAUUUAAAUAUAUAAUUCAAUUUUUGUCGUUUGAGCUUAUGUUGGAACUAAGUUUCUUUCUAUUUAGUUUGCAUAUAUGUAUCUGACCGUUUAUGUCAAGAUUGAGAUAACUAAGCAUCCAUUUGGUCGUUUGAGCUUAGAAUGGAACUUGCCUUCUUUCUAUUUUGUGCAUAUGUCUGUAUGUCUCUAUUUAUGAAAGCUUGAGAUAAUUGAGCAUGUAUUUGUACCAAACCCGUUCCAAUGGAAUGGUUGUUGUAUUUGUUCCAAACACCAUUCGAAUUUGAUGAUUGGUAUAUUUGUUCUAAACCCCAUUACAAUUGUAUUUGCUUGGAUGGGCUGUUAGUACAGGGAUAGUUAGAUUAGGAAUUUUGUUUUGCCAUUUUGUGAUUGGUAUCUAAUUACAGAUUUUGUGUUGCAUGUCUCCAUGUUUGAGUGUAUGUCCUGUCUGUGUAGUUAGUUUGGGCUGUUUUUAGAUUCUUAAAUAGAGUUGCUUAAUAUUGUUUAUAAGGUUAUUUUUAUAACCGGAGGAGCAGGGGUACUGUAGCAACUGAACUUAGAGUUGUGAACAUAACUGAAUUGAUAGGUAAGAAAAGUAGUGGGAGAACUUCCAUGGGUAAGAAUAAGAUCGCCAUUUUUUGCAUCCUCUUAGCUCAAUUUGGUAGUUAGAUGUCCAUUAAAGACACAGUCAAGGUUUAGAUUCAAUGUGUUUUGUGUAAUUUUGUUUUUUAGUAUUAAACAAGCAAGAAGCCACCUUUCAAGGACUGAAGCAUAUGUAAGAAAAUAUGUAAAACUGAAAACCAUUUAUAAUUAAAAAAAAAAGGACGGAUUAACUAAAGAAAAGUUAAAAAAAAUUAUCUUCCCCAUAUAUUACUCAUGAUUCCGACAUGCCUUACGGUUAUACAAAAAACAUAGGUCAUAAAGAUGUUCUAAAACAUUUACAUGAAGAUAUAAAUUUGCAUUUUUAUUUUGUCAUUUUGUUUAUUUUUCUAAACAUGACUCCGCCGUUACUUUGAUAAAUCAGCUUAUUAAGUUUUCAAUUUAAUUUGCUUCUCAAUUUUUUUCUAUCUAGAUUCAUGGAGAUAAUGUCGCUUCAUUCUCUAAGACCAUACCAGCCAGCAAACAAGCUCCAAAUCAGGGUUUGCAGGAUGUGGAUCACAAAAACCAUCGAAGAUGAUCCUCAGCCACAGAGUCUUGAUUAUGUGUUUGUUGAUAAACAGGUGAGAAUUUUUCAUCUUUUUCGUUAUCGUAAGAUGCUUACGUUUUUUAUGUAUCCAAGUGUGCAUGCUGUGUUCUUGGUACAACAAAUUUUGUGGUCAAACAUUCUCUAAAGUUUGGGAACUAAUUGCUCUAUGCAAUUUGUUGCCGAAUUAUACAUCACUUCCACAUGAUUAAUGUUUGUGUGGUUAAUUGUUCUAUUGGAUUCAAUCAUGGGCCUUGAUAUCAAUUUUUAAACCGGGCCACUACAUUCAUGCAAAUCCAAAAGAAAUCAAAAUUCCAUCUUCUCCAUAUAAUGCCAUGUGAUACAAUAAAUUUUGUUCUUAGAAAAACAAAUUUUAGACUCUGUUGUUGACACUUUUGCUCUCUUUGCAUUUCACUAUAGAGAUUAUAUUUAAUUAUGCUCAAACAAAUUUUUUUACAUAUGUAAACAAAACUAAGUAGAGUCCAUCAAUUCUUCUUUUUCUUAAUUUGUUUUGUUUCUUUUUUUUUUACCCACAAAAAUAUAAUUCAAACUUUAUUUAUAAGUUUGCUUCAAUUGCUAUCAUUUCGAUUCAUAAAGUAAUCUUUACUGUUGUGGUGUAUUUUAUCUUAAAUGCUGCCUCUGUGGCAAGAAUUAUGCUAUCCUCACUGUUUUUUAGCUUCUUAAACCGCAUGUGUUAAAUGUUCUCCUGCACAUUUAAUAAUCUAUAUUAUUUUAAUUUUCUCCUUCUAACAGGGAGAUGCAGUUCACGCAACUGUGAAUGCUCGAGACAUUCAAUUUUUUUUGGACCUUCUGAGAGUCGGCGAUGCAUACGAGAUCACUAAAGUUCGUGUUGUUUACAACAGGACAUCGAGCAAAGUUGUCCCUCAUCCUACAGCGCUUGAAUUAAAUAGGAGAACCACAUUCGUUCCAAUUGACAAAACAAACCACGAGAUCCCAAAGCAAUGGUUCAAUUUGAUUGACCUUGAUCAACUUCAUAAGAGAAUCAACAACGAUGUUGAGCUUACAGGUAACAAAUUUGGUUUUGCGUGUUGCACUAACAUCUAAAAUUAUCAUUAUAAUUUAUUCAUUGCCUUUGGUGCGCAAUAAUUUUCACCGCUAAAUAUUGUUCGUAGAUGUGUUUGGUUAUUUAACGGCUGUGCAGCCGAUUGAAGACGUGACUGUCCAAAAGUCAAGAAUUGCAAAGAAGAAGAAUCUUAACUUGCAAGAUAUCAGGUCAUUCCUAUGCGUUAAGUUCAAAUUACGCACAUAAAACGUCAUAUUUAUGACAUAAAACAUCACAUUUUUUUAAACUUACAGGGGCGAAACAAUUAGGAUCACCUUAUGGGGAGAAGCUGCAACAACUUUUGAGGACAGUGGAAUAAAAUCCCUUCCACCACCUAUCUUCGCUGCUGUAACAAGCCUCAAAGUCAAAGAAUACCAAGGUUGUACCUCAACAUCCUUUAUUUAGCUGCUUAAACCUUCAAUUGUUCAUUCUUAUGUUUUAUAUAUAGGAAACCCUGUUCUUGGAAGCACUGGAUCAACUAUUUAUAUUUUCAAUCCAGAGAUUCCGCAGCUCACCCAAUACAAACAAAAGUAAAUUGACAACCUUCCUUCAAUAACUUUGUUGUUUAUAUUUCUUCAAUUUGUCUUUUUCAACCUAAACAUACAUGACACAGGUUUAAGGAUCUGAGAUCACCUGUUCAAAUCUUGCGCACCUCAGCUGUAAUGUAUGCAAACCGUGCUGUUGGUCCUAAUUUUGAGUCCAAAACAAUUGAGGAGCUCCUUCUACUUGAUCCUGCUUUACACAAAGUUAGUCUCUCAUCACCUACUUAUUAAGAAAAAUCACAUCUUUUUUAAUAAUAAAUUUUAGAACUUCUUUCUUGGCUAUCUCUUGCUUUCUACUUUAUUCAUUUAUAUUUCAUGUUUACAAGACGAUGAGUAAAUGUAUUUCAUUAUUUAAAAUUGUGUGAUUCCAUAACAGAAUGCAAGUUUUGCAUGCAAAGCGACUGUCGUUAGAUUUGAUUUGACUAGAGGUUGGUGGUACAAGUCGUGCCCAUUCUGCCAUAAAGCUGUCAAAAAAACUUCCGGAUCAUUUCAGUGCAAUGAACAUGGUUUAUUAAACAGGUUACCUGAACCAUGGUAAUCUCUUUUACACCUCUUUUACAUAUAACUGUUGUAUUAAGCUGCUUAGUCAUUUUUAAAUUUCUUGCAAUUAUAAAAUUUAUGAUUGAUGAUGUUUUUAUGGUUAUCAUCUUUUUCACAACAAGAAGAUUUAAUGCAUGACAAAGCUUCCUUUACAUAUGUCUUUGCACUUAAUAAAGAGAUUGGUAUCCAUGUGUUAAAAAGCUGGCUUUUUUUGCCUCUAAUAUACAUAUGAAUGGAAGUGUCUUUUGUUGACCAAAGUUUUGGAAUGCUCAUGGACUUUCGUUCAAAGUUGUUUUUGUAAACAAAACGUCUUUGUAUUUGGAUCACAACUAAUUGGUUAGAUAGGGUAAUUAGUCAGAAAGGUAUUAGAUUAUUGAGAAAUGAAUGAGAAAGUUGCAUCUUAACUGCAAUGAUGUGCUCAUUGUGGCUACUUUUCUAAUACGCAAACAUAUGGUUCCUGUGCUAUUUUACUUCAAGAAUGGUAGUGAUAACUGCCUAACAUGAAAAUAUCCAACUCUUCCUUAGGUUCAAAAUCAAUAUUAUAGUGGAAGAUAGCACAAAUCAACACAACUUCCUCAUGUUAGGAAGGCAUGCUGAAAAGAUACUUCAUGUUUCUUGCCACACUAUGGUAAUAGAAGAUGGAUAUGACGAUCCCUUUAUCGUGCCACCGCCUCUAAAAAAAUUGGAGGGAGAGACAAAAAGAUUUUUGCUAUCUUUUGGCAAUCAAAACAGUGAUUUUCGGAAGACGGACUUUAUCAUUUAUGGAUUGCUUCAAGAUCAGCUGCCCUUGAACCCAGCGACUGCCUCUAUUUACCCGCAAAAGCCUCCUGCCACUACAGGAAAACAAAUUAUAAGUGAAGCGACUCCCGCCCCAGUGAUGCCUUCCCUGCAAUCAGAUCGCCAUCCCCAAUUGGUUGCAUCUCCCAAAACUUCAAAGAGGGCAUUGUUCAUUGAUCAAGCAGACAAACCAGACAGGUUAAGUUUUCCUCUCAGUUAUCAUCUUAUGUAUAAAUCUUCAUAAAUAUACUUGCUUAUUUUGGGUGUACAUAUGUGUUAUGUUGUUGAUAAAAAACCGUUAGCCAAUCUUUUUGCUUCAGUCUUUAACAUUUUUUUUGCAUACCUAUCACAAUUCUCUCUGACCUUAUAAAUUGUACCUUCAUUCACAGCAAAAAAACUCGCACCGGGCAAACAGAGACAACCAAUUCUGCUAGAAUUGCCAGAGAAUUCCACAAACUGGUUGUCCCUAAGAUUGAGCCUGCCGAUAAAGAACCGAUAGCUGCACUCAAAACAAAGUCUCAAACCAAAAAAACCAAGGAUAGGUAAAUUACAAUUUAUUUUUCACAUGCACACCUGCAUAACAUCUGUUAUAUCAAUGUUUACUAAACUAUGAUUCCUGUUUUUUCUUAUAGUACUGAAGAUGUUCGCCCACUGAAAAAAUGAAUGACUACAGUCUUCGUUAUGAAUUGCUACAAAGUUGCUCUACAGUUUUUUGCCUUUAAAACAUGUGCAGCUGAAAACUUAGUUGUGGAAACAACAACAUAACAUUUUUUUGGGUUUUUCGUAACUGCUUAAACAGGUGCCUAGGCUGCAGGGUAUGUAUUUUGUCACCUUAACUAUAGGGGCAAAAUAUGUGUGGACUGCAUCUUCCUUUUGUAACUAAUGGACAUAGGCAUGCUGCAUCUUUAUUCCUUUGAACAUUUGAGUUUCUUUUUUGUAACUACUUAAACAAGUGCCUAGAUUGCAGAGCAUGUAUUUUGUCACCAAAACUGUAGAGGCAAAAUAUGUGGACUGCAUCUUCCUUCUCUAACUUAUGGAAACAAGCACACUACAUCUUUGUUGCUUUGAACAUAUAUGCUUGAAAGAUAAGCUGCCAAAACAAAAACAACCUACUUUUUCACCUUUCACUCAUCUAUCCUUUUUAUUUGUUCAUGAUUUUGUUAAUUUUUUUUUCAAGUUGCAUGUGUCUAAUCCGUGUACUUAAGAUUCGAGCAUUCAACUCUCGCAGCAACGCGCAGGCAUUUUUACUAGUUUUAAACUAAAACAAAAAAAUGAAAUUGAACUAAACCAUAACUCAAUUGAAGCCUAUGUUUAACUAUUAUUGAAAUUAACAAAACCCUUCCUGAUUUUGAAACCUAAAGGACGAAGGUAGUAAUCGAAAUAUGUUAUUUGAAAUUAAACUAAAACCUGAAUCACAUUAAUACAAUCAUUCAUCAAACCCACUAAUACAAUCACACGAAAACCCCCAAUCAUUUAUCAAAAUUAUAUUCAACCAUUUUUAGCAUUUUCUCAAAAGAUCAAACCUUCAAUAUCAUAGCAACAAUUACCAAUUUUUUUUAUCAAAACCCAGAAAAGUCAGUUUAGAUUUUGUAUGAAAAAGUAAGGCAAUACAUAAAAAUUCAAACCAAGAAUAGAGCAAGAGACUUGCAACUCUAAACCAACGUCUAAACUAUAAAUUGCUUACCUUCAGUAGAGGUGGAAACCAAACAGAGAGGGAGUUUGGGUUUCAUGUUCUGACUUAUAGACAAAGUUUGAGUGAACUGGUGGUGGUGGUGGUUACAAUUUACAGAGAAGAGGGAUGACGUUGGGAGGCAAGGGAAGUAGCCAAUUUUUUCAAGGGAUUUGUCGCACAAGAGUAUCCCUACAUUUUAGUUCUGGAAAGUUUUAUGUAAGAAUACGGUUUUAAAGAUGACAAGCAAAACUCAAUCAUUUUUUAUCAAGCAGCAUGUUGCCUUGGAAGAGAUUCAUGGGUUGUUUGAGGUUGUUUUUUGAAGGCUAAAAGUAGUUUCAGACAUUCAAAUCCUAAUGUUGUAAUCAUUUCGUAUUUAAUUUUUACUUUUACUUUAUAUGCUUGAGAUAUGAUGACGAUUAUAUGGAAAACGAGAUGGACGAAGAAGAUUUAUGUGAGAUAAAAGAACUAAGGAAGAAGGAAUGAAAACAAAUUCAUAAAAGUGAAAACAAUUAAAAUAGUUUUGAUUUUUUGUUUUCAAUUUUGUCACUUUGCGUGUCUUUCCUUGUACAUUCAUCACAUGUCUCCCACCAUCCUUUAUUCACUCUUCUUCAUCCAUCAUUUUCCUUAUGUAUUUCCGUUCUAACACAAUCACAAGACAUAAAAAUAAAAAAUAAAAUGGUUAUAUCAAAUACUUGUUGGUCACAAAAACCCUUCACCAUAAAAUAUUUCUCCAUACGCACUAAAAAGUGUUUAUGCUGAAGCACUUUUCGAACUUUUUAAGUGAUUUUCUAUGAAACAUACUUUUAACAAAUUUUUAUGUGCUAAUAAUAGACGUACUUAUCAAAAAAUGCUGAUAACCAAAAGUGCUUCUUGCUAGUACUAUUAGAGCAACUCCAGCGGAUGCUGGUUGCUCGGGCGACAGGGGAGGAGAAAGGGCCUGAGGGCCGGUGGGAGCAGCUCCAGCGGGGAAGGGCCCGAGUGAGGGUGGGAGGCCGAGCGAAGGGGGGGUGGGAAGUCGACGGGCCUGUGGCCCGAGGGCUUUGUAAUUGUUUUUUUUUUUUUUGUGUCAGAGAGAGAGAGAGAGAGAGAGAGAGAGGGGGUUUUUUAUUAUUUAAACAAACAAAAAAAACUAUUAUUUUAAUUGCUUAUUGUCAGGGGGAGGGUUGCAAGGGUGGAGAUGUAAAUGGCAAUUACUGUUCAUUAAUGGUGGUUACUAUUCAUUUAAGGCAGUUACUGUUUAAUAGGGUGGAUUGAAUAGUGGAUUGCCAGGGGAAGGGCUCCAUGGGUGGAAUUGCUCUUAGCUGUCUCAGAAACCUUGAUAUCCAUCCAUCUUUGGUGUUACUUUAAAGUGUACCUCUUUAUACUUGUAAUAAGAACCUUAAAAUAUUUAUAAAGGGUUACGCUAAAGUUAUAAUUUGCUAUUAAUGGAUUGGCUAAUCGAAGAUCCAGUACAAUAUAUGAAAGAAAGCCCUUGCUGCUUGUUUCCCAAAAUCCCACAUGUUACAAAAACAAAACCAUCACGAUCGAAACAGCUAUAAAAAUAGAGGAAAAGUAAUGAAAAUGACUUUAAAACUUUAAGUUUUAACGAUAAUGACAAAAUAAAGGGUAAAAUGAAUAGUACCAGGAUCGACUUUUUAGUGUAAAAAUGUGGUUUUUUGUUAAAGUGAACUGUACCGUGGACUUUUCGUUAAAACUCCCUAAAAAUAGAGGGAAUGGAACAUUUGGGAUCCACACAGCCAUGUGGUGAGCACAAAGUGAACUAUCCACACAUCCACAUAGUUUGGAGGAGUUUCUCUUUACAGAGAAGCCUCUAAAUAUUAGUUUUCAAGAAUUUAAAAAUGGUCUUUACUUGCAACAAAUGAAGCACUGAGUCUGAGUUCAAUUCAGAUAAUUUGUAAAAUUCAAUACCAGCAUCUCAAAGUAGUAAUAUAAUGUCAUGACAAUACCGGUUUGGGAUACUCCCAUAACCUCGUGUAUGGAAGUCACCAUUUUAUAAGGAACCAAUUCAGGUGAAAUUUUACAAACAAAUGAUUUUGGUCUUCCUCAUCAAUGCCACAUAUAGGACAAAGCUUGUCAAUGUUGAGCAAAUUUACUUAAACGAACCCUAGUUUGCAAUUUUUCGUGAAUAAAGAGCCACACAAAAAUCUUUAGCUUUGGCGGAAUCAUCAAAUUCCAUAGUUUUUUUAGCAAAUUUUGUCUCUUCACUUCUCAAAGACAAUGUAACUUUUCCAAUGCCACCCCCAUUUCUCUAUCUCAGCAUUUGGAGGGGAGAGAAAUGUUGAGCAAAUUUUAUUUCUCCCCUGCAAAUGCUGAGAUAAAGAAAUAAGGGUGGCGUUGAAAAAGGUACGUUGUCUUUGGCGGAAUCAUCAAAUCCACUCAGCUUCGAAGCUUAAUACAAUUUACAAGUCCUUUUUCUAUUGUACCUUUUUAUGGGACAAGUUCCAUCAGAUACGUUUUAGGGGAAUUCUUUUAACCGAUAGUCCACCGACCCCAUCCAAAAGCAACAUAGGCAUGUAGGAACACCGUCUUGGAUCCUGGGUAGGGCAUGAUUGCAAUAUAGUACAAGUUGGGGGUGGAUUUAAUGACGUGUCCAUGUCCAGCUGCUUAGAUUAACUUGGAGGGCAUGGAACAUGAUGCCAGCUUAUUUAAAUGGAAUAGGAUUUUCAAAUCUUUUUACCCUUCUUCCUUCUUUUCUUUUCUAUUUGAACGGUUACAACUAAAUUACGUUAACAUCUUAUAUUAAUUUUUUAUAGAAAAAGAAAGGCAAAAUAGAUAAUGUGAGAGGAGGGGAUGAAAAGAAAUAGAAAGAUGAGGCUAGAGAAUUCUAAUCUUAUUUAAAUAUAAGGGGCUAACAAGACGUGUGAACGUUGUCUUCUUUUGUAUCAGAUUCACUUGGAGAUGGUGAUUGAUAACUGAGAAAUUUAUUUUCUUCUUACAUUUCUAUAAUGGACAAAACAUCGAUCCAUUGAAUCUUGAGGAUCAAAUGUACUUCAAAAUAUAGUGUUCUUGGUAUCUGUAUGUUGUGCCACGGUUUAUAAUCAACUCACUCAUUAUGUAAGUUUAAAAUUUUUCUUCAGUAGUCGGAGUAGUUAAGAAAAUACAACAACAACAACAACAACAACAACAAAGCCUUUUCCCACUAAGUGGGGUCGGCAAAACAAAUACUUAACGCCGUCCGUGAAAAUUGAUUUCGAGAUUAACCUUAAGAUAUUGAAAGGUAAAAAUUAUUUAAAAAGUUAGUUUCUUAGUAGGCUAGAUUACCAAAGAUAUACCCCGUAAAUUUUGCCUAAAUUUGCAUCAUGUUUUCCAUAUUCUUCUUGGUUAUAUGCGUUGAGAUUGAUAACGGUUGUUCUCAAGUUUAUAAUUUAGGUUUUGGUGGUUUUGGAGAAAUUUUUCCAAAUGCUAAACAUUCAAGUGGUACUCCACAUGUCAUUAUACAAAUAGAAGAAAUGAUAUAUUUUUCUAUGUUCCCUCUACUUGUAUAUUAUGACACGUAGAAUAUCCGCUUAAUAUCGGACACUUUAAAAAAUUUCUCGUGAUUUUGGGUUGCUUGGACUAGACUAGUAGUUAAGAUUAAUUUUGGUUUUACAGUCUAUUUAGCUAUUUCUCCUGCUUUUUUACCAUUUUUUUGGUCAAACUUUUAGAUACAAUCCUGUAACCCAUUAACAAAUCAACAUACAAUAUUUUCCUCAAUUUAAUUAUGUGUGCAAUUCCAUAGAUGUGAGGUCUUAUACAAAAGACCUCAAUUUAAUUAGUAGUAAAACCAUUUAUUAUAAUGGAAAUAUAAUUUUAUGAGGUUUUUUGUUACAUUCCACAUCAUCUAGGGAUGUGGAUCCUACAAGCCUUAUAUGUAUAUUCUCAUCUCUACCUAGCACGAGACUUUUUGAGAGCUCACUAGCUUCGGGUUCCAUCGGAACUCUGAAGUUAAGCGAGUUCACGCGAGAGCAUUCCUAGGAUGGGUGACCCAUUGGGAAGUUCUCGUGUGAGUUUCCAGAAACAAAACCGUGAGGACGUGGUCGGGGCCCAAAGCGGACAAUUUCGUACUACAAUAGAGUCAAGCCCGGGAUAUGGUAGGGGCCCGGACCGGGAUGUGACAUUUAUGAUGCGAGACAAGCUUCAACAAUUUUUUCCUUUUAAGCAUGUUUAUGUGAUGUUGGGUAUAUCUAUUGAAGUUAUUUCUUUGGAUAAAAAUAUUGUUUGGGUUUAUUGAUAAUGGAGUUAGCAUAAUACAUGUUAAAGAAGUUAACUAAAUCAUAAGUAAAAACAAGUGGUGUGUUUUAACUUCGUCUACCACUCAUUUUGUCACAUAACAAAGAACCUAAGUCCUUCUCAAGGUUUAUUCUUUCCAUAAAUGAGUAAUAAAGAAAAGAAGGAAAAAAGUGUUGUUCCCUAGUGGCAGUGGGCAAUGGGCAAUGGGCAAUAUUGGCCAAUGGCCAAGAGAGAAGGCAGAUAAAAAGGGGUUGGAAAGACCAAAAUAAUUGUUAUCUUUAAGGCUUUUUAGUCAAAAUGAUCUCAUAGAUUAACAUAGAUCCUCACUUUAAUCCUUAUAAUUUGAAAUCAAUAGAAGUGGUUCAUGAGUUUGUCCAUCAUCAAUCAUUUUGGUCAUUUUGUGAAAAAUUAUAUUAAAUAAUGACCAAUCACAAAAUACCCUAAAUUUAAUAAACAAUAGACCAAAAUAAUUUGACAAAAAUUGAAGGUAUUUUUGUCAUUUAACCUUAAUUAAUGGAUAUUUUUCACGGAAUGACCAAAAUGAUUAAUGGUGGAUAAACUCAAUGACCACUUCUAUCGAUUUCAAAUCUCAGUGACCAAAAUGAGGAAUUAUGUCAAUCUCGAAAACCAUGUAGAGUAAAAAGCGUACCUUUUAUGGUAAAAAAAUUCAAAAUGUAAGAUUAUGCAUGACAUGUAUUAUCAUAAAUGAAGAGCACGUUGCAUGGAAAGUGGGGCACAAACAGAGGUGUGAUUUAUUCAUUUUGGGUUGAGGGGGCACUGAGCUUUUUGGAUCAAGUAAUGCAGUUUGGGUUUGUAUCCUCCAAUAAUAUAUAUUAACUUUCACAUGACACUUUUGCACCAAUCUACAUGAUGCUGCUAGCCUUAGCCUGCCAUAAAUUGCACUAUAAGAUACCAAUAACACUUCUUGGAAUGAUGUUUUUGCCUUCAUUUCAAGCAAGCCUUUGCAUUACUUAGUACUAAUCGCAUUUGAGAGUGUCUAUCUCUUUUUCUUUACGAGCAAAUACUAGUAUGACAUGUAUAAAUAAAUUAGGCCUGCUCUGUGUGCGACCGCAUAGGGUCACGGUUUUUAGGGGCCCCUGAAUUUUAAUAACCUUUGUAAGGUACUACAUAUAGAAAAAGCGUGAACAUAAUUGACAAUGUUGUUUUAGCGGAGUUGUCAAGUGCUGAUACUUCCAAUUUAUUGUAUUCUUUUAACAGAGUUGUCAAGCGCUAGUACUUCCAUUUUUUUUUUUUUUCAUAUUAGCCAUGUGCGGGGUAACCAUUUUGAGCCUUUUUUGAGCUAUAUUAUUAUUUUUUAAAUAUUUGUAGCUUAAUUUCUUUCAUUAUAAAAGAUAACUUUUGGUAAUAAAUCUUUAAUUAGGAAUAUUCAUAAUAAAUUAAACUCCUUAAAACUCAGAAGAUAUAAUCUUUAAAAAGCUUCCUUAUAUGCCUCCGUUUAAUCGAAUACAUGUCAUUCGUUUAUUCUUUUGGUCAUUGUUUAAAGGUCAUCUAAUUUUCAUUCUCUUUAAAAAUCAUUUAGUCAUCCAAAAAUUAAAAAGGAAAUUUGUCACAUCCUGGCUCAGGCUCCCACGACAUCUCGGGCUCGACUCAUAUUGUCCGUUUUGGGCCCCGACCACACCCUCACAGUUUUGUUUAUGGGAACUCAUACGAUAACUUCCCAUUGGGUCACCCAUCAUGGGAUUGCUCUCGUGUGAACUCGCUUAACUUUGAAGUUCCGACGGAACCCAAACCCAGUGAGUUCCCAAAAGGCCUUGUGCUAGGUAGAUAUGAGAAUAUACAUAUAAGGCUUACAAGAUCAUCACUCCUGGGCGAUGUGGGAUCUUACAAAAUUAUUAUACAACUUUGCUCACACCACUAAAGUGCCUCUCAAUGAUUAUUGUUAUAUUAAUUUGCUAUAAUUGAUUUAAGGAACGAAUCUCGAAUUUUAAAUAAUCUAACGGCAAUCAACCGGGGUGGGGGUUAGAAUCUUCCUAACGAUUUAUUAUAAGAUGCUAUAAAUAUCAUUACCAAAGAUUUGUUUAACUAGUUGAUAAUAAAAAGCAUGAGUGUUUCUGAUUAUGAUAUUCAUACGGUAAUAUGAUAGAUACAUAGCCACCACACCAUGCUUCAUUUUUAUUUAUUUUCUUUUGCGUUUAUAUCUAUUUAUACAUAAGAAAACAUAGCAACCAAAAUUUAGACCAUGUAAAGGCCUUCAUUUGAGUCUUGCACAGAGCCUUCAAAAUCUUAGAACUGGCCUUGACAUAAACAACUCGUUAUAAACAUGAAAGAAAAAGAUUAUGCACGUGUAUGGAAUUGUAACUUGUGUCUUAAAAGAAAUGUGUUCUUUUAAGUAAGAGCAAAGUAUUGUUCAUACAAUAUAACACAAAAAUGAAAAUGAUAACCCCUGAUAAAGCUGAAAUAUGUACAUAUAUAUAUUGAGAUGCAGUUGUUUGUGCCUAUUUCACUUCUGACGUGAUGCAGGAAAGUCCCUCUCGCACGAUCACGAUAGAGAGGCUUCUUUGCCAGAUCAAUAUGGCAUUGCAUAACAUAGUGUUGAACAAUCACGCAUGACGAUCACAAUGUGGUUAUCAUGGAAUUGUAAGCUCACCUACCACAUGACACAUAAUGGAAAAUUUAAAGAAAUAUGUAAAGACUAGUUUGAAAUACAAAUUACAAUCAUUAUGUAUUUAUUUGGCGCAGCAUAAUUAUGAAUUCAUAAAAAAUACUUAAAGUGUUGGACACUUGUAAUCGCAUUAUAGGAAAGUAUUUUAAUUUAGAGAAUUUUAAUGAAAAACUUCUGGUAUUGUUUAUUUUAACAAAAAAUCACAUUAUUACACUAAAAAGACAAUCAUGGUACUAUUUACUUUACCCUUUAUUUUGAUCUUAUCGUUAAAACUCAAAGUUUUCAAGACAUUUUCAUUAGUUUUCCUUUUAAUUUAAUUGUAUAUCAAGCCAAUCCAUGUUGCCUAUAUGAAUUUCAUUUUUAGUUUUUUAUAUUUACUUAUUCUUGUAUGUUAAUGGAAAUAGAUUGGGACUUUUUCUUUCUUUUUUUUGUUGACUUUUUGACUUUUUUUUUUUUGGUUAAUGACCUGAUCAAAGAUAUCUAGAAGCUAAAACAAUGUGACCACUCACCACAUUGGCACAUUUUCAUCACCAAUUGCUUUCACUCUUAGGACAAAUUUUGGUGUGUGAUGUAAAUAUCGCAUGACAUGUCCAUUGGGUUGCAAGUUUACUUAAAUUAUAAUACAUGAAAUAAAUUUUAAAAAUUGUUAUUAACAUUGUAAAAUUUUAAUUGUGUACUCUAAACUUUUUAUAUCUUGAAAGAAAAUACUUUUAUGGGAAGUGCACAAUUAGAGCAUCUCCAAAGGAGAUGUCAAAAAUCCUACGUGAAUUUUUUUUGACAAAAAAAAGCUGGUUUCUGGUUCCAAUUAGAUGCCAAAAUUUUAACAUGGAUUAACAUUCUCCAAUUUAAAGGCAACAUAAAAAAAAUGUUUUAUUUUAAUGUUGAACCCACAUAUUUCUUUAUUUUCUUCUCUUAUUAAUAUUUUAUUAUUAAAUUCUGACCCACUUGAUUUUAUAAAUAACCAAAAAGCAUUUUAAUUUAAAAUCUUAGUUGAAAAUGAGACUUUACAAAUGAGGAGAUGUUCCUAAAUUUUGGAGUGCUCUCAUAUGAGAAGUGCACAAUUAGAUUUUUAGAACACAAAUAAUAGUUGUCUAAAAUUUAGACCCACAAUUAUGUACUCAAGAUUUAAUAAUUAACUAACAUCUACACACAUUAUGUGUAUGAACUCUUUUUAUUUUUGUUUUUAAAAUGAAAAUGAGAAAGUGUCACAUCCCGGUCUCGCCUUCGCCGUAGCACGAUAUUGUCCGCUUUAGGCCCUAACCACGCCCUCAUGGUUUUGUUUAUGGGAACUCACGCGAGCAGAACUUCCCAGUGACUGGGAAUGCUUUGGCCCCCUUUCUUCCUUAACUUCAGAGUUCCUACGAAAUCCGAAACCAGUGAGCUCCCAAAAUGCCUCAUGCUAUAUGGAGGUGGGCAUGUACAUAUAAGGCACAUCACCCCCUCUCCGUUGGUCGAUGUGGAAUGUUACAAUCCUCCCCCUUAAGGGCCCGACGUUCUCGUCGGCACACUCGCACCACACGAUAGACUAGCUUUGAUACCAAAUUGUCACAUCGCGGCCUCGCCUCUGCCAUAGCACGAUAUUGUCCGCUUUAGACCCCAACCACGCCCUCAUGGUUCUAUUUCUGGGAACUCACACUGUCAUAGCCCGUCCCAAAAUAAAUUAUCAAUGGCGUGGAAGUUACUAAAUUACCUUUGGACGUUGAGAUAUAAUUGAGUUAUGUGGUGGUGUGGUUUAAGUUUAAAUUUAUUUGGACAAAUUCUAAAUUUUUAGGACUCAAAGUGUUUUCUUUGGUUUUGGUUGAUGACCCACGUGAACCACACAGACACACACACAAACUCUCCCUCUCUCCAAUGCCUUCUCUCUCUCCUCACUCUCGGAUUUUUCAGAAAAUCAGCACAAAACGUACGGACGAACUUCAAAACCAACCAUACACGCACAGAUCGAGGAUUCAAAGGGCACCAUUGUGUUCUUGAGGUUCAUACGAGUUGAAUGGUACCAUUUUUAGGAAAGAACUUCUUAGAAAACUCGUGAAAACCCUAACCCGAUUUUUUGUCACUAUUCAUGCAAUCAUAAAAUCGUGUGUUUUUUGAGAUUUCAAACUCACAGGAAGCUUUAGAAGGUUCUCACAAAGCUCGGAGUGGUCUUUUUGGAAGAAAUUGGACGUCAAAUCAUCGAGAACGACCGGUUUUAAGAUUUGUCGAAAUAUCGAGGCUUUUUCCAGUGGGUUUCUAGUGGUUUCAGGGCUCGACUUAGCUAUGGUUUUGUUCGUCUUGGUGAGAUCUUCAAAAUGGUUCAAGUUUAUUGAAGUUUGGUGUUAAAAUGAGAGAGAAAUUAGGGUUAGAAACUUUUUCCAGAAACCGGCGAAUAGUCGCCGGCCUCCGGUGACUCGUCGGGAAGAAGAAGCAUAUUCCGUCAGUUUUAACGGAAUAUGCUAACGGUUAGACGGAAUACCCUAGAUUUUAACGGAAUAUUCCUAACGGCAUUAACUGCCGCCGUCAGUGCGCGUUUGGCCGUGCCUUGGUCGGCGCAUGAAGGGUCGGAAAUUUUUUCUAAAAAUAUGGGGAUGUUCGUGAGAUUGUGUAGAUCACGUUGGUAUAUUCAAACAUCCCAUUUGAGCAAUGUAUGAGAAGUUAUUAGCUAGUAUUGGUUAUAUGCUUUAAAUUAACGUUUUUAUAAGUGUUUCGUAUAUGACUUAUUCCGAGGACAAGCGCAAUCAAGGGCGACUCGGGGGCUACGACCCUUUGACAUACCAGUGAGUGGGCUUUUGGUUUUUAGUAUAUACUUAUAUACUUGAUAUUUUCCCAAAAAAUGCGUUUAAAUGAAGUAUGCCUUGAAAUGCCAUGCAUAUAAGUUUAUGUUCAGUAUAUGAAUUAGUAUAUGAUGCAUUAUAUAUAAUUGUGGUGUUGUGGAUGCUCAGGUAAGCCCAUGUGAGUUUAUGAAUUGUGAAUGUGAGUAACGGUUGUGAUUAAGUAGGGGAGGCUAUAGCUAAUGCCAUUCAAUCUUCGCUCCGUCCUCCUCAAAUGACACCUCUUGAGACUGUGUAUAAUUUGAAACUGAAUCAUUUCAUGGGAAAUGAAGGACAUGAGGGAGCAAAGAAGUGGCUUAAUCAUGUUGAGAAGAUUUUCCUUAUGGUGUAGAGUCAGGGGAAUCUUCCUCCUGAUAGGUGGGUCGAGACGACUACCUGGUUUCUAGGUCCAGAGCCUACAUCCUGGUGGAGACAGGAGUCCUAUCAAAUGCCACCAGAGGUAGCAGCCGAUUAGGAAGUGUUUAAACAGUUGUUUUGGAAAAGGUUUAUUCCUCUUGAGUACAUUGAUUGCAAAAAAACAAGAGUUUACACAUCUGAAACAAGGAAAGAUGUCAGCGAAUGAGUCUUAAAGGAGGUUCACCGAUUUGUCUCGAUAUGAUCUGGAGGUUGCUGCUAAUCUGGUUUAGAUGCUCCAUCGCUUCAGGUUAGGUACUAAGAAGAAAUGGCGUUCUAUAGUGACAUUGACUCUCUGUGCCACUUACCAGGAGUUUUAUGAGGUUUUAUUGCGAAUUGAGGACUCAAAGAACAUGCCCAGUGAAAGUGAAGAUGAAGAAAAAAAGAACGGGAACCAGAGGCGAGAUGAUAAAGGUAAAGGUCAAUCAUCUUAAGAACCUCGUAAGACCUAGAGCUUUAAGAGAAGUGGUGUCAGUUCCAGCUCUUCUAAUGAAGGCUUGAGCUCUAAUAUGUAAAGGAGAGGUGGUAGAUUUUCUGGAGGCCCAAGAUUUCAGAGGCAGAGGGACUUUGGUGGUUUAGGUGGUUCAAGUGCUCCUUUAUGCCACAUGUGUAAUAAUAGGCAUUUUGGGGAGUGUAGGAGAGGCAGCAAUGCAUGCUAUACUUGUGGACAGAUGAAGCAUAGGGUUGCACAUUGCCCUUAAAUUCAGUAGAGGCCCCAACAGCCUUCCUUACCACCAUCUGCGCCGAACCAGCAAGCUUCAAGACCUAGUGGUUAUGCUCAGACUGGUCGUGGAGGUGCUUACCAUUAUCAGGACGACACCGUUCCUUAAGCUACAUAACAAUAUCAGUACUCGCAGGACCCUAAUUAUCAGGGUGGUUACCCUCAGUAUCAGGGAGGUUCUAUGCCAUAUCAGCCACAUUCAGCAGGUGGAUCCCAAUGGUACCAGGGGGGACAGCCCCAGCAGGUAGAGAUUGCUGCUAACAGUGCAAGAUCUUCGAGGCAGUCUGGUUAGCUAAGACAAGGACGAGGUAUUCAUGCUAGCAGAGGUCGUGGUGGACGACAGUAGAAUCAGGGACGUAUCCAUAACAUGACACUGCAAAAUGCUCAAAACAAUCCUGAUUUAAUCAUGGGUACGUUAAAUAUUCUUGGUCAUUUUGCUAGAGUAUUGAUUGAUUAUGGUGCUACGCAUUAUGUUGUUUCUCAUACAUUUGUUCAAGUGACGCAACCUCAUCCUACACCCCUAGGAUAUGAUUUAGAGUUUUCUAUGCCUAGAGGGGAAGGAUGUUAUGUGGAUCGGGUAUAUCCAAGAUGUCCAGUGAUGAUGGAGGAUAUUGUUAUGCCAGCUAAUCUUAUUCUGUUAGACAUUGUUAAUUUUGAUGUGAUUUUGGGCACUGAUUGGUUACAUUAUAAUCGUGCCAAAAUAAAUUGUUAUGGAAAGACAGUCACAUUUCAUCGUCCUGGAUUACCUGAAGUUACAUUUGUAGGAGAACCAAGCGGGGAGAAGAAUGGUGUUAUUUCUGCCAUGAAAGCCAAAAGAUUGUUGUCGAAAGGUUGUCAGGGAUAUUUGGCUCUUGUGGUGUUGAAUGAUAAUGCUCCUAGUAGUGUGGAAGAUGUGCGUGUGGUCAGGCAUUUUUCGGAUGUGUUCCCUAACGAUUUACCUGGAUUGCCGCCAGACAGAGAUGUGGAGGUCGUUAUUGAUCUACUUCCUAGUACGAAUCAUAUAUCUUUGACUCCUUAUAGAAUGACUCCUGAUAAAUUAAGGGAAUUGAAAGUUAAGUUUCAAGAAUUAGUGGAUAAAGGUUUUAUUCAGCCUAGUACUUCACCCUGGGGAGCUCCAGUCUUAUUUGUGAGGAAGAAAGACGAAACCUUGAGGUUGUGCAUUGAUUACAGGCAAUUGAAUCGGGUAACAAUUAAGAACCGUUAUCCGUUACCUCAUAUAAAUGAUUUGUUUGAUUAACUCCGAGGUGCCUGUGUGUUCUCUAAGAUUGACUUGAGGUCUGGUUACUACCAGUUGAAUAUUAGAAGUGAAGAUUCCCUAAAACAGCUUUCAGGACUCGAUAUGGUCAUUAUGAGUUUCUUGUGAUGCCAUUUGGGUUAACUAAUGCACCAGCAGCUUUCAUGGAUUUAAUGAAUCGAGUAUUCCAGCUGUAUUUGGACAGGUUUGUCAUUGUCUUCAUUGAUGAUAUUCUUGUAUACUCUAAGUCUAGGGCUGAGCAUGCUAGACAUCUUAAAUUGGUGUUGAAAAGUUUGAGGGAACACCAGUUAUAUGCUAAGUUUAGCAAAUGCCAAUUCUGGUUUGAUCAAGUGACAUUUUUGGGACAUAUUAUAUCAACUCAAGGUAUCCGAGUGGAUUCUAAAAAAGUGGCAGCUGUGGAGAAUUGGGAGCAACCUCGAACCGUCACUGAGAUGCAGAGUUUUCUUAGCCUUGUAGGCUAUUAUAGACGAUUUGUUAAAGAUUUUUCAGUGAUUGCUUUACCAUUGAUGAGAUUGACCAGGAAGGAUGUUAAGUUUGAGUGGCAUGAUAAUUGUGAGUAAAGUUUUCAACAGUUGAAGUAUUAUCUCACUCAUGCACCUGUUUUAGCACUCCCUGAUGAUAUUGGUAAUUUCGAGGUCUACAGUGAUGCUUCUUUGAAUGGUCUGGGUUAUGUAUUGAUGCAACAUGGUAGGGUGAUUGCUUAUGCUUCGAGACAGUUGAAACCUCAUGAGAAGAAUUACCCUACUCAUGAUCUGAAGUUACCGGCUAUCAUCUUUACUUUGAAGAUUUGGAGACAUUAUUUUUAUGGUGAGAAAUGUAAGAUCUUCACAGAUCAUAAGAGUCUUCAGUAUCAUUUCACUCAGAGAGAUCUUAAUCUUCGACAACAGAGAUAGAUUAAGUUGCUUAGUGAUUAUGAUUGCAAGAUUGAGUAUCACCCUGGUCAUGCAAAUGCAGUGGCGAAUGCACUUAGUAGGAAAACUCCAGUUAAACUUAAUGUCAUAUAUGAUUGUCAUGUUCCUCUUCUUGCAAAUUUGAGGUCCACUGGAGUGGAGUUAGGAGUGGAAGAUAGAGAGGAAUCCUUACUUGCUAAUUUUCAAGUUAGGCCAAUCUUAAUUGAUCAUGUGCUUGAGGCCCAGAUGAAUGAUGAAGAGACUUAGGAAAUAAUUCAAGCAAGGAAUCAGGGGAAGAAGAAAGAUUUCAGAAUUAGAAAACUGAUGGUGUGCUUAUGCAGGAAAGCAGAAUGUAUGUGCUGAAUAAUGUAGAGCUAAAGAAAGAAAUCCUUGAUGAAGCGCAUAUUUCGGCAUAUGCAAUGCAUCCAGGAGGUAACAAGAUGUAUCAUACCAUUCACCCAUUUUAUUAUUGGCCUGGUAUGAAAAAGGAAAUUGUCGAAUAUGUGAGUAAGUAUGCCAUUUGCCAACAUGUUAAAGCUGAAAGGAAGAAACCGUUUGGGUUGAUGCAGCCACUUCCCAUUCCACAGUGGAAAUGGGAAAAUAUUACCAUGGAUUUUGUGUACAAGCUUCCUCAUACACAGAAUGGUUAUGAAGGCAUUUGGGUGAUAGUUGAUCGGCUUACUAAGUCAGCACACUUUAUUCCAGUGAGGGAAAAAUACCCAUUAAGCCUAUUAGCUAAGUUAUUCAUAUCGAAGAUUGUGAAGUACCAUCGUGUUCUAAUUGAUAUUGUCUUGGAUCAGGAUCCUCGAUUUACUUCUAAGUUCUAGAUAGCAUUCCAGGAAGCUCUUGGUACAAGAUUACUUUAUAGUACGGCAUAUCAUCCUUAGAUUGACGGACAAUCUGAGAGGACUAUUCAGACAUUAGAAGAUAUGUUGAGAUCUUCAGUGCUACAGUUUGGCGAUGGUUGGCAUGAUUGUUUAGAUUUGAUGGAGUUCAUUUACAACAACAGUUACCAUUCAAGUAUUGGUAUGUCACCAUUUGAGGCACUUUACGGGAAAUUUUGUCGUACACCUUUAUGCUGGUCAGAGGUUGGUGAAAAAGUUUUAGUGGGCCCUGAGAUUGUGGACGAGACUACUCAAAAUGUUCAGGUAAUUAAGUUUAACCUGAAAGUGACCCAAGAUUAACAUAAGAGUUUAGCAAACAAACAUGCCACUGAUCGGGUGUAUAAAGUAGGUGAUUGGGUGUUUUUGAAGUUAUCACCAUGGAGAGGUGUUGUGCAGUAUAGAAAGAAAUGCAAGUUAAGUCUUAGAUACAUCGAGCCAUAUUUGAUCAUUGAAAGAGUUGGUGAAGUUGCUUAUAGGCUUGAGUUGCCUUCAGAAUUGUCUAAAGUGCAUAAUGUAUUCCAUGUUUCAAUGCUCCGACAUUAUAUCUUAGAUCCUUCACAUGUGAUUCCUCCUCAACCUUUGGAAAUUAAUUCGGAUUUGACUUAUGAUGAGGAACCAAUGACUAUUUUGGAUUGGAAAGAUAAGGUUCUGAGGAAUAAGACAAUGCGUUUGGUGAAAAGUCUUAUGGGGAAAUCAUUCAGUGGAAGAAGCUACUUGGGAGACAGAGGACCGGAUGAGAGAGAUGUAUCCACGCCUAUUUUAUGAUUAUUAGUGGAUUGUAAAGAUGGUAUAAAUUUCGAGGACGAAAUUUUUAUAAGGAAGGUAGAUUGUCAUAGCCCGUCCUGAAAUAAAUUAUCGAUGGCAUGGAAGUUACUAAAUUACCUUUGAACGUUGAGAUAUAAUUGAGUUAUGUGGUGGUGUGGUUUAAGUUUAAAUUUAUUUGGACAAAUUCUAAAUUUUUCCUAAGUUUGGGAACACUUAGGACUCAAAGUGUUUUCUUUGGUUUUGGUUAGUGACCCACGUGGACCACACACACACACACACACAAACUUUCCCUCUCUCAUGUGCCAUUUCUCUCUUCUCCCUCUCAGAUUUUGCAGAAAAUAUGCACAAAACGUACGGACGAACUUUAAAACCAACCAUACACGCACAGAUCGAUGGUUCAAAGGGCGCCAUUGUGUUCCUGAGGUUCAUACGAGUUGAAUGAUACCAUUUUUAGGUAAGAACUUAUUCGAAAACUCGUGAAAACCUUAACCUAAUUUUUUGUCACUAUUCAUGCAAUCAUAAAAUCGUGUGUUUUUUUGGAAUUUCAAGCUCACAUGAAGCUUUAGGAGGUUCUCACGAAGCUUGGAGUGGUUUGUUAGAAGAAAUUAGAUGUCAAAUCAUCGAGAACGACGGGUUUUAAGAUUUACCGGAAUAUCAAGGCUUUUUCCGGCAGGUUUCUGGUGGUUUCAGAACUCGACUCAAGUAUGGUUUUGUUGGUCUUGGUGAGAUUUUCAAAAUGGUUCAAGUUUCUUGAAGUUUGGUGUUAAAAUGAGAGAGAAAUUAGGGUUAGAAACUUUUUCCAGAAAUCGGUGAACAGUUGCCGGCGUCAGGUGACUCGUCGAUGAAGAAGAAACAUAUUCUGUCAGUUUUGACGGAAUAUGCUAACGGCGUAAGGUAACGCCGUUAGUUUUUAGACGGAAUAUUCCUGACGGCGUUAACUGCCGCUGUCAGUGUGCCAGCCACGUGCCUGCACAUGGGCGGUGCGUUUGGCCAUGACUUGGCCGGCGCAUGAGGGGUCGGAAAUUUUUUCUAAAAAUAUGAGGAUGUUCGUGAGGUUGUGUAGAUCACAUUUCUAUAUUCAAACAUCUCAUUUGAGCAAUGUAUGAGAAGUUAUUAGCUAGUAUUGGUUAUGUUCUUUAAAUUAACGUUUUUAUAUUUGUUUCGCACAUAUAGGAGACUUAUUCCGAGGACGAACGCAGUCAAGGGAGACUCGGGGGCUACGACCCUUUGGCAUACCAGUGAGUGGGCUUUUGGUUUUUAGUAUAUACUUAUAUACUUGAUAUUUUUCCAGAAAAUGCGUUUAAAUGAAAGUAUGCCUUGAAAUGCCAUGCAUAUAAAUUUAUGUUCAGUAUAUGAAUUAGUAUAUGAUGCAUUAUAUAUAAUUGUGGUGUUGUGGACACUCAGGUAAGCCCAAGUGAAUUUAUCAAUUGUGAAUGUGAAUAACGGUUGUGAUUAAUUGAGAAACAUUGAGCUCAUAAACCUGCACCCUGGUAUUAAUGAUUUAGACAGAGAUAUGGCCCAGGUCUGUUUAUAAUGUCACAUCUUGCACCCUAUGCUCACAUUGGAUCCAAUUUAGGUCCACAGUCUUGUCGUAUAGACCACUAUAGGUGGUUCCAACUCGUAGGUGACUAGCGAUUUAUCGCAUAGCUAUCAUGAGUGCGUAGCAUUGAGCAUAACUAUAUUACACCCAGUCUUGUCAUAUAGACCUUUUCUAUGGUUCCGACUCGUUUGCAAAGUAGUGUCGUAUAGGUCACUUACAGUGACUCCGACUAGAUUGAUUAAUGAGUUAUGAAUUCAGUCGUACAGACUUCUGUAGGGGUUCAGGCUAAUAUGUUAUUUUCCAUGAGUUACUUAUUCUAUUUUAUGUUUUGGCAUGGCAUACUUUAUGAAUAUGGUUAUGUGAAGCAUGAAUUGUUAAAUAUAUAUAUAUAUAUAUAUAUAUGUAUAUAUGUAUAUAUAUAUAUAUGUAUAUAUUUAUAUUCUAUUUCUGAGAAAAUUAUACAUGUUUUACAACGAGGGGUUAGAGCAUUUGAUAAUGAAAUGAUUUUUGAAAAGCUUUGUUUUUGCGCAUUCACGUUUUCUGUUUUGCACCCUUCCAGGUUUUAGGUAGACUUGUUGUUGGUGGCUUUGAGGAUCUCGGCGGUUCUGACAGAAUAAAAUAUUCGUAGGAUAUCUUCUGGUACUGUAUAACUAGUACUUCACCUACUGGACUGCACCUAGACUUUCUAUGCUCUGAUUAUGAGUAUUUACUCGUGUAUCUCGUUCCUAGCACUUUCUACUUAUUAGUGCACAUUAGUAGCUUUCAGUUUUUUUUUAUUUAUUCGUAAAUUUCUUAUCCUUAUCGCUUCCGCAUUGUGCACAUGACUACGUCACCCUCACGUGACGGCCAGCACGCCUCGAUCUUGGUCGGUGUGUGUCACACGCGAGCAGAACUUCCCAGUGGGUCACCCAUUCUGGGAAUACUCUAGCCUCAUUUCUCGCUUAACUUCGGAGUUCCUACGGAACCCAAAACCAGUGAGCUCCCAAAGGGCCUUGUGCUAUAUGGAGGUGGGCAUGUACAUAUAAAGCAGAUCAACCCCUCUCUGUUGGUCGAUGUGGGAUGUUACAGAGAGGAUGAGAGAGAACGCAUGUUGGAGUGGGAGUGGGAGGUUUUUGUUUUGUUUUGUUUUUUUAAUAUUAGAUAUAUGUUAACAUCACUUGUAAGUGGGAUUUUAAUAAAAAAAACAGUAAAAUUUGAAUCUGUAAAAUUACAUUAUUACUAGCUCAUUAUGAGGCUAAGCUCAUCUCAUCUCCCUUAGUGUAAAUAAUAUCGUUUGUUCAAAAAAUAAUAAAAAAAGUAGUUUAGAUAAUUGAAUAACAAAUAUAGUUGGGGUGAACCUUUUGAAGAUUACUUGGUUAGGGUCAAUGUGAAGAAAUUGAAAUUGUCUACCUAAGGUGGAGAAACUAGAGUGAGAAACCCAUGAUCCUACAUGGUCAUUAAUUAAGGAGCUUGCCCGCAUAAUUUAAUUAUUGAUGUGAUUAAUUGGUAUAUGUAAUUAUUAUAAUGUGUCCUAAUCAUCACCAUUAUUAUAUUAUAACUCUCUCUUUAUGAAAAAAUUGCAAUCCCCUAUCCCAACAUUUUUCUCGUAUUUUAAGUUUUUAACUAGAAAUAUAGUUUCGUACAUUUUUUUUCUUCAUCAUACUCUUGUUUAAUGUUGUCUUUAAAUUUUUUUUCAUACAAGCGACAAUGUGAGAUGUCAAUUGCAAUAAUAAACUUUCUUUCAAGUUUAUUCAAUUCAAAUACAAAAAAUAAAUAUAGGUGUUAAUAGAAAAAGUAUACAUAAAUCACUUCUCUUAAAAAUUAUUUUUAUUUAUUUAUUUAUUUAUUUUGUAUAGAAUGCUCCCGAACGUGCUUAUGUCAAAAAGAAAAACUAAAACUAAAACUAAAAACUAGUUACUUUUUCUUUUAAUUUCUUUUUAGUUUUUUUUUUUUAAAGAGGAAUAACUGGUGGCAAGUCACACUUAUCCACCUCUUUCGGACCCAGAGAUACUAUACGGAAUUUCACCCUGCCUAUGGCAACAGUAAAAAAAAAAACUCACUAACUUGAAGUAUCGAACAUGAGACAUCUCACAACUUUUGUUUAUUGGGGAGCCACAAUUUGGAUCCUUACCAAUGAGCAAUUUGCUGUAAUUUUUUAAUUUCUUUUUAGUUUGGGAGCUAAAUUAAUUUCUUUUUACUCAAUGAGUCAAACUUUCCAACAAACAAACCACAUCCCCACACUCCUCAAAGCCAUAAACGUUUAUAUUAUAACUCCAACCCAAAUAUAGAUACAACUCCCCCACAAAAUAUCCCAAAAUAAAUAUCCCAAAAUAAAUCCCAAAUAUUUAGAGGGUUCCCAACCAAUGAAAUGUUAAAAUUUCCACCCUGAAAUUUGGAAUUCUCGUUUCCCCAUUAAACAAAUCUUUUAAUUUUUGACAGAAAAAAAAAAACAAAAACACAAAAAACAAAAACAGAAACAAAAACCAAAAUCUUUGAAUUUUCUUUCUUUUGAUCAACCAAAACUGUCAACCGAAAAAUGAGACCAAAACCAGCUAUCUUUGCAGAAAACCACCAUCAGAUUAACUGAUUUUAAUUAAGUUUAAACAGUUUCUUUGUCUUGUUUGAUCUUCAUUAAAUAUUGCAGUUCUUUGUCCUCUGAUCUCCAUCAAUCUCUCUCUCCUCUUCUUCCUCUCUUUCUCUCUCUAAACAGUGAUUAAUCACAGAUCAUUAACCCAAAUCAAAAGCUUUCAACUUUGCUUUUACUCUUUCUGCAUAAAAGAAGAGAAACUGCUGCCACCAACAACCCAUCUCUCCAAGAAACCAGAAGAUUCCCCCAUCACCUAACCAGAACAUGGAUAGGAGCUAAAAGGAGCUCACUUUUUCUUAUCUGCAACCACCGCUACCCCCGCCGCCGCCGCCACCGCCUUUUUCUGAGGAAAUCUCGAGGAACCCAGUUCGUCAAACCCUAAACCGGACCCAAAUCCCAAGCUUUCCGGCCGAAAUUCAGCAACCGGAGACCUGGGUUUUGCUCACAUUCGCCAUUGAAGAUGACCCAGCUCAAGCAAAUGUCCCACCUCGACAUCAGUCCGCCAACGCCCGGCAAGUUCAAGAUGGACAAGUCGCCCUAUAUUCACCGCCUCCGCGGGCACGGCUCUCUCGCCAAGCUCACAUUCUGGUCCUUCGUUUUCCUCGGCUUGAUCUUGAUCUUCUUCUUCCACUCCCCGUCCCCCAAUUCUCUGCCGUCCGAUCCCUCCCGCCGCUCUCUCAGAACCUACAAUUGGGGCGGAUCCGCCUGGGAAAAACGGGUCAGGUCAUCCGCCAAAGUCCGGUCUCGCCACGGAAUCUCCGUCCUCGUCACCGGUGCUGCCGGCUUCGUCGGGACCCACGUGUCAGCGGCGCUUAAACGUCGCGGAGAUGGGGUCCUUGGUCUGGACUGCUUUAAUGACUACUACGACCCUUCGUUGAAGAGGGCUCGGCAGGCGCUUUUGGAGCGGAGUGGGGUGUUCAUUGUGGAAGGCGACAUAAACGACGCCCCUUUGCUGAGCAAGCUCUUCGAGGUGGUGGCGUUCACCCAUGUGAUGCAUUUGGCUGCCCAAGCUGGUGUGAGGUAUGCCAUGGAAAACCCAGGUUCAUAUGUUCAUAGUAAUAUAGCUGGUCUUGUUAAUCUUCUUGAAGUUUGUAAAAAUGCAAAUCCACAACCUGCAAUUGUUUGGGCAAGUUCUAGUUCUGUUUAUGGAUUAAAUACUAAGGUACCCUUUUCGGAAAGAGACCGGACUGACCAGCCGGCUAGUCUCUAUGCCGCCACCAAGAAAGCCGGUGAGGAAAUUGCACACACU
RNAcentral lists this long non-coding RNA (64357 nucleotides) under Malus domestica (apple). Lineage: Eukaryota; Viridiplantae; Streptophyta; Magnoliopsida; Rosales; Rosaceae. The record is from RNAcentral.